CGUUUUACCUCUCUUCAUUGCACUGUCACUUUCAUGCAUGAAUGUAGCUCAAGGGGCGGGGACGGCUCGCCGUCUCUUGCAGGAAACGACGACGACCCCACCAAUAUUUCCAAAUUUGCCUCCCUUUCGUGGCUUCCAGUUUCCUCCUUACAGCGGACCUUACCCGGAAUAUAGGUUGCCGCCAUUUCCAGGUAUUUCGAACGUCCCUCCUUCAGCACCUGGCUUUCCUGGCUCUUCAGCACCUGGCUUUCCUGGCUCUUCAGCAUCUGGCUUUCCUGGUUUCCCUUCGUUCCCUGCUCCACCAACAUUGCCCAACACUACCCCUUGAAUCCACUGAAUUAAAACUAUCACCAUGAACGAUUACGCGUUCAUUUUCUAAAUAAUUAGUGCUAAAUAAAGGUUAAUGUUUGUAGGAUUUAAAUCUUUUUCUUUUUUUUUGGGGGUGGAAACUUUGGCUUACACACUUAGUUUGCUUUUGGAUCAAAUAAUCAGAGCAUAGAUUGUAGUAUUGAUUAAUGUUGUUGUUGGAUGCAUUAAAUGUGGGCUUGCUUGUAAUCUCUCUCUCUUGCAUUGUAGUUCUGUGUUCAUAUAAGGGAAUGAGAAUCUAUAUCUAUCCUAUUAUGUUUAAUCUUAUUAUAGUACCGUUUUAUGUUUACUAUUUACAUAUUUUGUUUCUAUUAAUUUAAUUGGAUAGUAGGAUGAAGCAAUUAAUUAUGAUAUUGUUAUCAACGGAUUGCAUUUUAUGGAUAAAUUCUAAUCAUAUUUAUAAAACGAAUUAUAUUUAAUACAUUAACAUAAACUGAUUGCUGGUCGUACAAUAAACCCAAUAUAGGAAACUCUAUAAAAAAGGAAAAUGCAGCAAACAAGUGUGGUGGAAAAAAUGAAAAAAAGAAAAGAAAAGAGGAGCACAAUAUAUGCCCAAUAUGCAAAAAGCGAAGAGGCACGGUAGAGCAAAGGUGCACAGUCCAAACACUAUGGUGGAAGUGGAAAAAUUCAAGGGGUAGUUCUAGCAGGUGGUGGGGAGAAGGACGGAAUUGUAGUUGGCAAAGUGGGGAUUGAAGGCAAGCUGGGCAAGGGUGGCAGGGUGGGAAUGGUAGGCAGUGGUGGAAGAGCGACGGGGUUGGGUAGAGAUGGUUGCGGCAGGGUGGGCAUCGUUGGCUGUGGGAGAUUUGGAAUCGAUGGCAACGGUGGCAAUGUUGGCAGCUGAAGAAGAUGACGCGCAGCUAGGCCAACGUUGACGCUUGAAAACGAUAAAGCCAUGAACAGUGCUAAAACAAAGCAAUUGAAAGAGGCCAUAUCCAAGAGGUUUGAAACUGAAAAAAGUUGUCGUCUUGAUAAUAUAUAUAAUUUGAGUGAGUGAGGAAGGUGACGGAGAGGCCCUGGUGUUUGGGGCUUAAAUAGGCCUUGGAACACUGGGAAUUGAGCACUCUGGUUGGAGAUAGGAAAAAGAGAGGUUAGCUCAUCUUCUCAUCGGCAUUGGACUGAAAAUUGGUGAACUACUGGUGCAUGUGGUUGGCACAGAAGCUACCUGAAUGAAGCACUGAAGUCAUCCACUUGACCAAACCAUGGAAGUUACCAAUAAAGUUGGGUUAUCUAACAUCAGCUCAGCUCAUUGGUUCUUCUAACUAAUGCUUAUGUCUAAAUGUUUAAGAUGAUUGGUACCGUAGAGAAUCAUUUAAUUAUAAUAUACAUACUAUUGAAGUUUCUACGUAUCAUCGAAUGAUUAAACAGCUUUUCACCUGAAUAUCCUAAAGUGUAUCAAAAAACAUUGGGUUCUUCCUGUCAAGAAAAAUAAAAUAAAAUCGAACAAGCAAUAUUUUAAUGAACGAAAAACUUGAAAAUAGGGGAAAAAAAAAACAUUUUAUUAAUUUUCAAUAUUAUUCUAAUUAAUUUAUUAUUGUUAACUACUACAGUAAAAUAACAAAAAAUAUUAUUUUUAUUAACACUUAAUAUAAUAUUUAGUACCUGAACUAGACUUUUUUUUUUCUAAUUUGAUACUUAAACUUGACAUUUUUUUCUUAAAUUGGUACUUGAUCUUUUUUUGGGUUCAAUUUGGUACCUAAACUUGACUCUUUUUCUUAAUUUGGUAUCCAAUUUUUUUUGUUCGAUUUGGUACUUGAACUUGUCAAACAUUUUACAAAUUACUCCAAUAUGCUAACAAUGAUAUUUUUUUAUGAGGUAGCAAAAAUAAUAAACGUAUAACCGAUAUGUGACAAAUGAUAUAAUAAUUUUUUAUAUAUAUUCAAUUUCUUUUAGUUUUAUUUAUUUAUUUAAUUAUUUUAUUAAUUGAAAACAAUAAAUUUCUUUUAAUUUGAGUUUUUAAAACUCUCUUUUUUAUUUAAUAUUAAUUCAUUAAGCAUAGCUCAAUACCUAUUUUUUUAACAUGAAUUUCCUCUAAUACUGACAAUAUUUUUGUAGCAUAACAAAAAAAACACCAUUAGUGUUUUGCGUAAUUUGUAAAAUAUUUAAUAAAUAUAGGUACCAAAUUAAACCUAAAAACAAGUUUAGGUACUAAAUUAGGGAAAAAAAUUCAAGUUCAAGUAUCAAUUUGGACCCAAAAAAAUUUAGAUACCAAAUUAAGAAAAAGUGUUAGGUUCAAGUAUCAAAUUGGAAAAAAAAGAUUUAGGUACCAAAUUAAAAAAAAAAACUAUAUUCGGAUACUAAAUGUUAUAUUCAGAUACCAAAUUAAAAAAAGAUUUAGGUACCAAAUGUUAUAUUAAGUUUUUUUUAUUAAUUAUUAUCUUCAAAAUUUUCAAAAAUAAAAUUGAAUGAAAAAAUUUAGUGGUAAAGCUUAAUUAUCAUAAUGAAAAAAAAGUCAACUAAAUAUUAAUUUAUUUUUUACACAUUUGAAAUUUAGCCCCUAGGAAAUUAGUUUCUCUAUAUUUUACAUUUAAAAAUAGAAGUCUAAUUGUUGACAGAAUUAAAAUUCUUCUAUUAAAUUUAGGUUUAUCACAACGUUUUUUUUUGUUAUAUGAUUACGAAAUAUUUCUUUCAUUUAAAAAUGUCACACUAAUAAAUUUAACAAGAGAAUUUUAACGGUCUCAACAACAGUUGAAUUUAAAUUUUGAAAUAUAAGAAAUAGAAAAACUACAUUCCUAAAAAUAAAAUUAAAAAUUUAAUUUUAAAUAUACGAGAAGUAAGAGAACUUGAAACAUAUUUUUAAAUUUUUUGUUGAACAAACAUAUUUUAAACAAGGUUAGCACCAUGUCUUAAGGGUAAGGCCUCAUCCACCAUCCACCAUUGGUGAAAACACACUCAGUAGUCAGUUAGGACACGUUUAGUUCGCUGUAUUGGAUUAAAGGUGUAUUAAAUUAGUAUUUAUAAUAAAGUUGCCAUUACUAUUUUUGGAACAAAGUAUUUAACAAAAUUUUAGAUUCGAACUCAAUUUAAUUCGAUUUAUGAAUAAAUUUAAUUGUUAUCUUUCUAAAUUAGAUAUAAUAUACAUAGAUUUUAAAUUAUUAUUAUUAUUUUAUUGGCUUUUCAAAUCCCCCUUUAAUCCUGUUUUGAGAUCUGGUUGAGCUUUGGGUGAAGAUAUAGCUACUCAUUUCUCUCCAUUAUCUUGUCUAUAUUUAGUUUUCUUUUUCUUUUUCUUUUUCUCUCAGCAGCUAAACUUGUUUGUCACUGCUUUUAAUAAUGGUUAAUCACAGUUACUAAUUUCUCAUUUUUAGAAAAAGGUAGUGAGACGAAUGAAUAUCAAAAGGGAUUAACAGAAGUACCAAUAAAAGAAAAAAAAGAGUUAGUGGAAUAAAACAUAAAUAAAUAAUCCCAUAAUAAGCAAUAACAAUGAAUAAAUAAAAGUACAUCAAAUAAUGGGAAAACUCCCAAUUUUACAGACAAACAUAUAAUGGUAGUGAAGAGUAAAAAAAAGAAAAAGAAAAAGAAAAAGAAAAAGCAGACUUAAUCUAUAACAUCAAACACAAACAGCUAAUAAGUGGGUAUAAAUGAUAGGACCAUAAAACAUAAAAUCCAAUCCAUAGGCAUCCAGAAUUAAGGCAGAAGAUUCAUGGAGUAGACGGUGCAGGUGGCGGGGAGAGGAAUGGGAUGGAAGGGAUCGUAGUUGGGAUUGAGGGAAAGCUUGGUAAUGGUGGCAAAGUGGCCCUUGGUACAUUCGGCAAAGUGGGCAUGUUAGGCAUGGCGGGGAGUGGAGGCAUCGCGCCUGGCCUCGGCAAAGACGGUUGAGUCGUUGGCAAUGUUGGUAUCGUUGGCAUUGGCAGAGUUGGGAUCAUUGGCAUUGGAGGUAACUGAGGCAGUUGCAGAAGAUGACGGGCUCCAAACCCAACAUCAAAGCUUGCAAAUGACAGAGCCAGGACAAAGCUCAAGAACAUGUAAUUGAAAGAAGCCAUUUUUUUUUUUUGUGUGUGUGAGAGGAUUCACUGAAGAGACUUGUGAUGGUUGGAGUGAAGAAAAGAAGGCGUGGUGGGGGGGAUUAUAUAAGUUUAAUGCAGGAGGGUUGGGCUGUCUGGUUGGUAAGAUUUGGUUCAGGUUGUGAUUUAUGGUUGGGAAAAUGUGGAAAACUUAAUGAUUUUGCAUGUCUUUGUUAGAUUAACUCCAAAUCCAUCUUCGUCUGAGAAUUGUCAAAUUUAGUUGCAAUGAGUCACCAAAGUACCAAUUAUGGACGGAGUCAAAUUGUUCUUUGAUUUGUUUAAUAAGAAACUAGUUUUGGAUCUCUUCUGGGUUUAAACAAAGGCUUAAUUAAUAUGCUAAUUUCUCUAUUGUUUGCCUCGUAGACUAUGUUCUACCUUGAUUUUUAGGAUCAAUUUUUAUAAAAAAAUAUUAUUGGUUAAAGUAUCAUAGAAGCCUUUGUAUUAGAAGUUCGAUUGCAUUUUAUCCCAUUUAGUAGAAAAAUGAGCAAAUUAGUCCUUAUACGCUAAAUUAAAGAGUAAACUAGUCCUCUCGACUAUUUAUACUAUUAAAAACUAACGUGAUUGACAGAAUAAUCAGAUAGUUAUACUUGGCUUGCCAUAUGUACCUCAUGUCGACGUACAAGAACUAGUUAUUAAUAGUAAAAAUGAAUGAAGUAGUUUUUAACAGAAGGACCAUUUUGCUUUUUAAUCUAAUAUAUAUGGAUUAAUUUACUAAUUUUUUUGUAAUCCAACUCUUAAUGUAAAGGCCUCCAUUAUACUUUUACCAAAUAUUAUUGCAUUUUAUUUUAAAUAACUAUUUUCAUUUUGGUAUAUCCAUAACUAUCCUAAUCCAUUUUAAGUUGAGUUUGAUCUUGUUUAGGGUAGGUGGUAUUUAUGUAAAAUCCUCCCAAAAAUGAUGAGUCCAAAAUUCGAACUGAAUCCAAAUGUUUAGGAAAAAUAUCACUGCCACUUCUUCGAACUAUUUAUCGAUAAAUAAUUGUUUGUAUCUAAUGUUGUGAAUAAACUUAUAUAAUGAUAGUAAGCAAAACAUUAUACUUAGUUAAAACUUUUUUAAAAUAUAUAAAUAAUUAAAAAUUUUAAUUACUAAUUUUAAAGUUUAAAUCCAUGAUUAAAUUGGUGCCACGAGUUAAUUAGGUACGAAUUCAGUUAGAAAAGAAUUAAAAUAUUUUUAUAUGUGCAAAAUAAGUUGUAUUAUUAUGAGGAUAUUUUUAUUUUUGGUAAAUUACACCCAAUGCUACUAAAAUACUAGUAAGUUUAUAUUUUGGUUACUCAACUUCAAAAAGUUACAAAAAUGGUUAUUGAACUAUUCGAAAGUUUUCAUAUAAGUCAUUUGGUUAUUAAAAUUGCUGUUAUAUGGCCUUCUCUAUUUGCACUACCUGCACCAAUCAAAAGUUUUCGUUCUCUUUAUCUUUUUUUUGAGAAAUUGUUCAAUAUGUUUGCAUAAAUAUUUAUAUAAAUUGAAAUGAUUUGAACAUAUGUGGUAAAUUCAACUCGGUGAAUAACAGUUGAAGGAAGAUUAUAAAAUGAUCCAAAAUACACGUAUGUAUUUUUAUAAAAGGACCAUGAUCAAAGUUUGUUAAUUAUUAUUGGAACUUCUAAAGAUAUCAAAAUAUAUUUACCCAAAAUUCUUUCUCACUCAUGUCACAAAUCCGUGAAUCAAAAUAUAAACAACUUUCUUCUUUGACCUCUGAUACUAGUUAACAAAUCAACUUGAAUAUACGGUAUGUUCUUUUACUAGUUGAUGUGUAUUGAUUUACCAUGCCGAUUGUAAAAUCGUACUUGGAGUUCGCUAGUCAGAUUUAAAAAAAAUUGAUAGCUAAACGACUUAAAUAAAAACUUUCAAAUAUUUUAAUUACUUGAAUAAAAAUUUUCGAAUAAUCUAAUAAUUUUAUAACAUUUUAGAAUUAAAUAAUCAAAAUAUAAAUUUACUAAUGAAUUAAUGGCAGUCUAGGUUACCCGAUUUAUAUUAUAGUUCCGGUUGCGGAUUUUAGCGGUUGGUUGGCGAGGGCGGGAUAAAUUCACCUUUUGGGCCGGCGGUUAACUUUCACUGGCACUUGUCGGUUGUCGAAUGGAACUACAGACACGUGACGGUUAUGCUUGUGUAUCCAUCUUGUUUUCUGAUAGCUGUGUAUCCAUUUUUUAUUUCAUCGAGUUGUGGUCCGCAGACUAAAAACAGCUCUGACCGUUAGAUUUCAUAUUAUCGAACGAUCAGUAAUUGACUAUUCAUAUUUAAUUAAAAAGAUUAUCAGUGAGUGAGUCAGAGUGAUACGUUAGCUAAUAUCAUUUAAAGAAAAGAAGGUUCAACCAUUUUUCAAUGUUUUGAUUUCGGAGCAAUAAUUGAGGGAAUCCGAAAAUGGAGAAAACUGAUGGAAUUGGGAAAGAAAAUGGAAGCACAGAAGAAAAGCAAAGUUUCAAAGAUGGAUCAAUUUGUGGGUAUAAUUCGCUUCACCACCUCUUGAGUGCAAAUCUUAAGCCUCAAAUCUACCAGGUCUUUUCUUUUUCUUUUUUCCCGCUUUCCAGGUUGUAAUUUAUCUGUCUUCACUUUGUUGAUUUAAUUGGGUAUUUUUGUUUUUCUUAAUCUGGCCAUGCACUGGGCAAAAAAAUCCAAUCUUUCCUGUUAUUUUUCUUAUAUAUAUAUAUAUAUUGUAAAAGCAAAUUUGAUCAUGAAAAAGGAAACCCCAGUUCAAAUUGUCUACUAUGAAUCGAUUGGUUAUUGUCAUUUUGGUCAGUUUUUGCCACUGAAAUGAUCAUUGCAGUCGAUCCUAGAAUUUGUAAACAGUUUAUCUCAUUAACAAGUAACAUGUUUUGCCUAUUAAAAGUCAAAAUCUACUGAUCUUAUUGCUGAUGAAUGUAACAAUCUUUUGGAAUUUUGUUAUGGUUUAUUAACAGGAAGUCAGCCGGUUGCUUCUGGGGCUGAAUUGCGGGAAAACACUUGAAACUAUUGUUCUACCUGAAUCAGCUAAAGCCCUCUCUUCAAAACAUGAUUUUGAUCUUCAGGUGCCUAUUUAUUUAUCCAACAUUACUGCAUUAUAACGAUUCGUUGAUAUAGAGAUCCAUCAUCUUAGCUCAUCAAUAUUGGAAAACAAUAACCGCAAGGUUGGCCUGGCUGAAAUCAUAAUACUCUUAUAAAACAAUCAAAGUGAAGGAACAAUAUAUGUUUUGGACACGUUAGAUAUACAAGGCACUACCAUGCAUUUUGACUGCAAUUGAAGAUUAUGUUAAUCUUUAGGCAGGGUUAGUUAAUCUAUGUCAUAUGUUCUGAUAUUUGUAUGGAAUAUUUUUCUUCCUCCAUUUUCCCCCUUUUCCAGUUUCUAGUUCAUACAUUUGAACAUUUGGUUAUAAUAGUUCUAAUGUAAAAUUUUAGUACUACCAGAAUCUCCUUGAAAUAUGUUGAUUUUCAUUCAAUCCGCUCUUAUCUAAGUGGUUGAAAAACAUCCCUUUUCUCAUUACAAAAUUAUUCUCUCACCGACCGGACCUGAGCAUACUUGUAGCUAUUAUCUCCGUAGAUUUUUGUCAUUUCAAUACAAGUAUAUUGUAGAAGGCAGUUAUAUGUGCUUUUUCAUUUCAAAUCGUUCCAGGAUUUCAAAUUUUCUGCUGACCAAGAGUUGUUAAGAGAACCCCGGGUAGUAAGGGUCGGUCUUAUUCAGAACUCCAUUGCUCUCCCAACCACUGCUCCCUUUUCAGACCAGAAAAAUGCUAUCUUUGAGAAAUUGGGACCAAUAAUUGAUGCUGCUGGUGCUUCAGGAGUCAACAUACUAUGCUUGCAGGUAUGGUCAAUUUUAUUGAUCGAUGCAUAAUAUUCUGAAAAUGCAAAUUAAUGAAUCUAUGAUGCAAGUUCAGGAAGCAUGGAUGAUGCCAUUUGCCUUCUGUACACGAGAAAAGAGGUGGUGUGAAUUUGCAGAACCUGUUAAUGGGGAAUCUACACAGUUUCUUCAGGAAUUUGCACGCAAGUAUAACAUGGUCAUUAUAAGCUCAAUUCUUGAGAGGGAUAUAAAUCAUGGAGAGACUCUCUGGAAUACUGCUGUUAUAAUUGGAAAUCAUGGCAACAUAAUAGGCAAGCACCGUAAGGUAAAUGCAGUAGUUUAUCUGGGUUUGGGUUUAUGUUCCUUGGAAUUUUUAUUGAUUUUGCUUAAAUGACUGGCUUCUGGCAGAACCAUAUUCCUAGAGUUGGGGACUUCAAUGAGAGCACGUAUUAUAUGGAAGGAAAUACCGGGCAUCCUGUAUUUGAGACUGCUUAUGGGAAGAUUGCUGUUAAUAUAUGUUAUGGAAGGCACCAUCCUUUGAAUUGGCUAGCUUUUGGUUUGAAUGGUGCUGAGAUCGUUUUCAACCCAUCAGCCACGGUCGGUGAACUUAGUGAACCGAUGUGGCCCAUUGAGGUUAUUCUUUACCCCCAUUUCAUAUAAUACUUAACUAUCUAAAGAUUGGAUGUGAUACUGAUUUAGUAGAGAGUCAUUUAUCUAAUAUUACAAGUGCAAAUGACAUUUUGAUACAGAUGUUAGCAUUAUAUCAGUUAAUGCCUGCCUACCACUGAACUGUCUUCUACAAGGCGUUUGACAUAUUAUUCCUUUAUAUUACAGGCACGUAACGCUGCAAUAGCAAACAGUUAUUUUGUUGGGUCAAUCAAUCGUGUAGGGACUGAGAUUUUCCCCAACCCAUUCACCUCAGGGGAUGGAAAGCCACAACAUCCAGAUUUUGGCCAUUUCUAUGGAUCUAGUCAUUUUUCGGCACCUGAUGCUUCCUGCACACCAUCACUCUCCCGUUAUAAGGAUGGACUGAUGAUCUCAGAUAUGGAUCUUAACCUCUGUAGGCAACUGAAAGACAAAUGGGGGUUCCGAAUGACUGCAAGAUAUGAGUUAUAUGCAGAUACGCUUGCCAGUUAUCUGAAACCAGACUUUGAACCCCAAGUCAUCUCUGAUCCCUUGUUACAUAAGAAGUCUUCUUAAGUACCUGUCUUCUUAAGUUCCAGGUACUAAUUGCAGCUCAAUGUAUGAAGCUGAUAAAUGGAGAUGAAAAUAGAAACUGUAUUGAUUUAUCAUAUUGAAUCAUCCACAAGAACAAGUUCGUUGUGUUUGUGUUUGCAAGUAUUUGUGCCCUUUUCUGUUAGCAAUUUCUGAUCACUCCACCAGCUUCCAUUUUUAUUAAGAUGAAGAAAAAGGAAUCUUGGUGUCUGCAUUUGGUGAAAAAAUAUAAAAUGAAGUGGAAUGAAUGUUGACAAGCUCACCGACUCUCGUUUUCCCUCUUUUUUCUGUCUGUUUCUAUAAAAAUUUUCAAGUCUCAUCAUCUAAGCUUAUCCACAAUUAAAAAAUAUAUACAUACAUAUAUAUAUCUACUACUUAAACAGACUUUUCAAAGCCUAUGAAUAGGCUGUGAAUGUCUCAUUAUGCAUUUGAAGUGUUAAGCAAGUGGUGUGCGUGGAAGCAAUAAACAAGUAUAUGCUUUCUUAAAGUUUUGGUAAUAUUGAUCCCUUGGCAUCCAAGUAAUUUUUUUUCUUUUCAAUUUAGUUCCCCCUUUUAAUUGUUCAAGCUAUUAUAUAUUUGCUUCUUCGAUUGCUUUGUUAAGAAGUGUCAAAGCUGGUUAAUUAGCAGCACAAGACUAUUACGGAUGUCAACUAGCUUAAUUAUAGGGAGAAAUUCAAAUUUGUGAUCCAAGAUCACUUCUAAAGGAAGGUGGUGUUGAUUUUGCAGUUUGGGGUUACAAUUACUUUUUGAACUCGGACCAAACAUAACUAAGGUAGCACAACAAAGUAAUAAGUUCAUAAUGACAGAAUUUGGUAUACAAGCUAAUGCAAUUCAAAAGCUUAGUAGGAGCAAUUACUACACAUGGAGUCUUUAAAUAAGUUUUAUCUGAAAAGAAAAGAGUAGGAGCAAUUACAACACAUGGAAUCUUUAAAUAAGUUUUAUCUGAAAAGAAAAGAGUGGUGGAGUGUAGUUAGUGGUGUUAGAAUUGUGUGACCUGAAUUCUUAUUAAAAUAAAAUAUAGUAGUAAAAUAAAAUAAAAGUAAAAUCCAUAUAGAACUACAUUUCUUUUGUUUUAUUUUAAAAUAAUGUUUUUCAACCUUAAUACACUUCAUCUAUUUGAUAUUAAUUAGAAUAAUGUGUUUCAACUUUAAAUAUAUGGUUUUGCAAGCCUAUAAAUAGACAUAGUCUACUUCUCUUGUAUUAAUUUUAAUUCAACAUAGUGAAUUAUCUUCUCCUCUGCUCGUGAUUUUUUUUCUAAAAGAGUUUCUAUGUAAAAAUCUGUAUGUUCUUUUUGUUUUUUAUUGUCAUUAUCGAUGUUCUAUUUUUUAACAAUUUGGUAUCAAAAUUUUCGGGUUGUUCAUCUCAAUCACGGUAAUGGCAUCUUUAAAAUAUGAAAUUUUGCUGUUGGAUCACAACACCAGAUUCUCGUUGUGGCAGAUAAAGAUGUAGAUAGUUAUUGUGCAAACAGACUUAGAGGAUGCCCUACUAUGGAUAGAUAAAAUGCCUUCGACAUUAACGGAGGAAGAAAAGAGACGUAAAGAUCGAAAGGCGUUAACACAGUUACAUUUGCAUUUGUCUAACAAAUUUUACAAGAUGUGAUGAAGGAGAAGACUAUUGCUGCAUUAUGGAAGAGGGUGGAACAAAUAUGUAUGUUGAAAACUCUAACUAGCAUGCUGCAUAUGAAGCAUCGUCUUUAUGCUCAUCGUUUGGAGGAAGGUGCGUCUAUGCACGAACACUUAACAGUGUUUAAAGAAAUUCUCUCAAACUUGGAGGCCAUAAAGGUUCAGUCUGAUAAGGAAGAUCUAAGGUUGAUUCUACUUUAUUUGUUACCCCUGUCUUAUUCAACCUUUAGAGACACGAUUUUGUGUAGUCGCGAAUCUCUCAUAGUUGAUGAGAUGAAGUAUCUUGUGGUUAAACCUGGCUCUCAAGGAAAGAGUCUCAUUGUUUGUGAGAGACAAAAUCGAAAUGUUGAUGAUGAUUGUAGAAAGAUACAGGAACGAAAUCCUCAUGGUAAAUUUAAGGGAAGAUUGAAGUCUUCAAAUAGAGGUAAAACUUGUAACUUCUGUAAGAAGAAAAGGCAUAUUAGAUCUGAGUGUUUUAAGCUACAGAACAAGAUCAAAAGGGAGGUUGUGAAUCAAAAGAGAAAAUAAUUAGAAAAAUUCGGUAAACCUGAUGUUGUAGAAGACUAUAGUGACGGUAAACUUUUAGUCACUUCUGUCAAUAAUUCUAAAGUGAACGAGGAGUAGAUCCUUGAUUCGGGCUGCACUUUCCAUAUGAGUCCCAAUCGGGAUUGGUUUAUAACUUACAAAACAGUGUCCGAAGGUGCUGUUUUGAUGAGAAAUAAUGCUUCGUGUAAAAUCGCAGGUGUUGGAACAACUAAAGUUAAGAUAUUUGAUGGAGUUGUCAGAACACUUAAUGACAUGCGACAUAUUCCAGAAUUGAAGAGAAAUUUGAUUUCAUUGAGUACUCUUGAUUCAAAAAGGUACAAAUACAGAACUGAAAGUGGAGUUUUGAAGAUUUUCAGAGGUUCCCCCGUUGUGAUAAAGGGCAGAGAAAGAUUGCAAAGUUAUAUGUUUUGCAAGGUUCUACUAUUACUGGUGAUGCAGCUGUCACUUCCGUUUCCUUGCUAGAUGAUGAUAUUACUAGACUUUGGCAUAUGUGCCUAAGGUAUAUGAGUGAGAAUGUCAUGGUAGAAUUGAGCAAAAAAAAGACUUCUUGAUAGGCAAGGAAUUUGCAAACUAAAGUUCUGUGAGCACUGUGUUUUCUUGGAAGCAAAAAAGAGUUUGAUUCUCAAGAGGAAUCCAUAACACGAAAAGAAUGUUGGAAUAUAUUCAUUCUGAUAUGUGGGGGCCAUCUAAAGUGCCUUCGAGAGGUGGAACUAAUUAUAUGCUAACAUUUAUUGAUUAUUUUUUCAGAAAAGUUUGGACGUUUUUCCUGAAGCAGAAAAGCGACGUGUUUUCUACAUAUAAUUCUUGGAAAACUAUGAUUGACAAACAAACGGGAAACCAAAUAAAACACAUUCGCAUAGACAAUGGCUUAGAGCUCUAUUCUGAUGAGUUUAAUGAACUAUGCAAGUUAAAAGAGAUCGUGAGACACUUGACAGUUCGUCAUACUUCAUAGCAAAACGGCGUUGCAGAAAAAAUGAAUAGAAUGAUCUUGGAGAAGGUUCGAUGUAUGUUGCCGAAUAUUAACUUACUAAAGUCGUUUUGGGCCAAAGUAGCCUCUACUGCAUGUUUUUUGAUCAACCAAUCUCUAUCUAUUUCCAUUGAGAAAAAGACACUACAAGAGGUAUGGUUUGGUAAUCCUGCUAAUAAUUCUAAUUUAAAGAUCUUUGGGUGUCCAGCGAAUGCUCAUGUUAAUAAUGGAAAACUGGAACCGAGAUCCAUAAAAUGUGUUUUUCUUAGCUAUAAAGCUGGUGUAAAAGGGAAUAAGUUAUGGUGUUCUGAAAAUAAAAAAGUUAUGAUUAGCAGAGAUAUUUUCGAUGAAACUGUUAUGCUACCUAGCUUAUCUCUUAAAGACUCUUCCAAUAAAGAACAACAAAAGUAGGUGGAGCAUCAGAUUAAUCCAGAAUCUACAACAGAGUCGAAUCCUUAAGCCAGUACAUAAAUUCAGAAUAAAGUUGCUUCUUUACCACAAUACUCUAUCACCAAAAACAGAAUUAAAAGAGAGAUUAAACCUCCAAACAAGCAUGCCAAGGCUGAUCUAGUUGCUUAUGCUUUAAAUUUGGUUGAAGAUAUAGAUGCAAACCAAGAGCCAUCUAAUUAUUCUAAGACGGUUAACUGUAAAGACUCAGAAAAAUAGAUGUUUGCUAUGCAAGAAGAGAUAGAAUCACUCUACAAAAAUAGAACAUGGGAUCUUAUGAAGCUUCCUAAAGGCAAAAAUGUUGCUUGUUGUAAAUAGGUGUUUAAAAAGAAAGAAGUGACUCUAGGAGUUGAAGAACCCAAUUAUAAAGAAAGGCUUGUUACAAAUGGUUACAGUCAAAUUUUAGGUGUAGGCUUUACAGAUGUGUUCUCUCCAGUUGAGAAGCAUAGUUCGAUUCAAGCUUUACUCGGUGUUGUGGCCAUGCAUGAUUUGGAGCUUGAGCAGUUAGAUGUAAAAAUUGUAUUUUGGCAUGGAGAACUUGAAAAAGAUUACAUACAACAACCAGGAGGCUUUACAGUCUCAGAAAAUAGGACUAUGUUUACUUGCUGAAAAGGUCCCUUUACGGUUUGCAACAGUCACCAAGAUAGUGGUACAAGAGGUUUGAUUCAUUUAUGACUUCUCAUUAUUUCAAAAGAAGUAGCUUUUACAGUUGUGUUUACUUUAAGAAAAACAGUGAUGAUUCUUUUGUUUAUCUACUCCUUUAUGUUGAUGACAUGUUGAUAGCACCGAAAGAGAAAAUAGAGAUAAGAAAGAUCAAAGCCCAACUAAGUGAAGAAUUUGAGAUGAAAGAUUUGGGACCAAUAAGGAAGAAACUUGGUAUGGAGAUUCUUAGAGAUAGAAAAGUAAGUAAAUUGUACCUAAGUUAGAAGGGGUACAUUGAGAAAAUUCUUUGCAGGUUCAAUAUGCAGGUGCUAAACCUGUUAGUACUCCUUUACCAACCCAUUUCAGACUUUAUCGGCUUUGUCUCCACAAUCAGAUGAUGAGAUUGAGUACAUGUUACAUGUUCCAUAUUCUAGUGCAAUGGGAUAUCUUAUGUAUGCUAUGGUUUGUUCACGUCCAGAUUUAUCAAAUGCAGUUAGUGCAGUUAGCAGAUACAUGGUGAAUCUUGGUAAAUAACCUGAAAAGUAGUUCAAUGGAUUUUAAGAUACUUACGAGGUACUACUGAUGUUUGCUUACAAUUUGGAAGAACUAGAGAUGAAUUCAUUGGGUAUGUUGAUACUGAUUUUGCUGGAGAAAUUGAUAGAAAAAGAUCUCUCACAAGUUAUAUCUUUACAAUCGGAGGUUGUACAAUCAGUUGGAAAGCUACUUUGCAAACUACAGUCACUUUGUCUACCAUUAAAGCUAAGUACAUGGAGAUUACUGAGGUUUGUAAAGAAGCCAUUUGGUUCAAAGGAUCUUUAGUGAACUCAAUGAAGACUUUCAAAUCAGUAUAGUAUUUUGUAACAGUCAAAGUGUUAUCUUCCUUACAAAGGAUCAAAUGUUUCAUGGGAGAACAAAACACAUUGAUGUUCGAUAUCAUUUUGUUUGUGAUAUUAUUGCUUGUGGUGAUAUUGUUGUGAGAAAAAUUAGUACUCAUGAAAAUCUUGCAGAUAUGAUGACUAAGUCACUUCCCAUAACUAGGUUUGAGCAUUGCUUAGACUUGGUUAGUGUUUAUUGUUGAAGUUAAACCUUAAGGGGUUUUAUAGAAGAGGUGAAGAACUUGUUCGUUGAGAGUUCGCGAUAAAGAACUUGUUCAUUUAGAAUUCGUGUCAAGAUGGAGAUUGUUAGAAUUGAGUGACCCGAAUCCUUAUUAAAAUAAAAUACAAUGGUAAAAUAAAAUAAAAGUAAGAUCCAUAUAGAACUACACUUCUUUUAUUUUAUUUUAGAAUAAGGUUUUUCAACCUUAUUACGCUUCAUCUAUUUGAUAUUAUUAGAAUAAGAUGUUUCAACCUUACUACAUUCCUUCUAUUAGAAUAUGGUUUUACAAGCCUAUAAAUAGACAUAGUUUACUCCUCUUGUAUUUAUUCAAAUUCGACAUAGUGAAUUAUCUUCUCCUUUGCUUGUGGUUUUUCCUGAAAGGGUUUCCACUUAAAAAUUUGUGUGUUCUUUAUUUUUCUUUCUUUUUUUUUCUUUGCGAUACAUUGUUAUUAUCGACGUUUUAUUUUUUAACAAGUGGAAAUGAGGUUGAACCACCAAUUGAAGCUAAAGGCAUAGGAAAGUGACAAGUUGAGGUUGCAAAGGCAAUAUUUAGUCUAAUUGUUACUAUGGAGGACGAAUACAUUAUAAAACGAGGGGUUAUUCGCUUUGCAAAUAGAAGCUAUGGCUAAAACGGUGCUUAGAACUAUGGCCACAGUUUCAACCAUGAAAUUAAAAGUGCAUAGAAAAUAAAAAAGAACAUUGAGAUUGUUUACCUUGUUCAACUUUAGUCUACGUCUACGGCGCCUUGCCCAAAGCAAUGAUCCACUGUCUUUCUCAUAAUACAACCAAUUAUUUAAGUCCUAACAAUGGUCUAACGCUUACCAAUUUAGUGACCUCACUAUUGCACAAAGACUAGAUGAAUCUCCCACUAAGCUUCCCCCUUGAAAGCUUAACUCUGCAACUUAAGGGACCCUUAUUGCUUACAAUAAUAAUGCACACAUGCACAUUCCUAACUUGAACAAAGUUGUGCUCUAUCAAGCUCUUAAUCUCUCAGUUACUCUUUAACCUAGACAAAACUUAAGGUUUGUUUACAUAAUAGAUAAUCUAAUCACUUUUUUAUAAAGUAAGACUAAAAAUCAGCAUAAGAUAAUAUUUCCAUAAGAGUCUUGAUGUAAUCCAAAGUCUUUAACUAUAGAAAUGUCUUUAGUUGAUCUGCAAGUAACGUUACUUAAUCUAUAAGAAACCAAUUUUCAAGUAUUCAAUUUCAAUUCAAUUGGUCUUCAUGUUUUAAGCUCUAAUUCGUCCAAAUUAUUCCAUUAUAGUUAACACAAUACUUUUGUUCUAAAAUUUGCCAACUCUUUAAAAUAGACAAGUAAGAUAAUAAAACAUUGUUUAUAGUUGUGGUCACUAUUUCAACCAAAGAAAUAGCCACAAAAUUAACGUUACUUUCAAAUGUGUCAACAAUCUUUCCCUUUGGCAAUUUAUGAACAAAACACAUACAGGGAAAAAAUUAUCACAGUUACAUAAUCUCCUCCUAAGUAACUCCCUCUUAAUCAAACACUCUUCAUUAAGGUAAUCAUUAAGUACAAGCUUGUUAACGAGUUCCAAAACAUGUAAGAGCAAGUGUACAAGAUUACUAGACUGGGUGAGUAAAGUAAAAGAAUCAUCAUACCAAAUUAUCGAGAAUUAGAACUCUAAGUUUGUGAUUAUUGUUGCACAAAAAAAAAACCCUCAUGCCCAUCAUAACACCAUCAUUUUACCACAUUACUCCCCUAUAACACCUCAUGCCCAAUCUGAUUGCCAGAUCUGGACUAUAGGGUGCUACGCUUAUGACUGAAUUUAACUAACACAUUCGUAAACACAUUCCAAAUGUCAAAAUAACUUAAUAAUAAAAACAUUUAUAGCACAGAUAACUAAUUGACUUUUCCAAAUGAAUUUAAUACAACUAUAUCCCCUUAAUAUAAUAUUUUUACAAUCUUAGCUUAACGAUUUUGAAAUAUUUACUUAGACUUGGAAAUAAUGUUCUAUGACCAAACUUAAUUACAAUCAACUCUGACCCUAAGGCUCUAUAGGUCGUUCCAUUGUAUGCAUAUUACAACUAAGAAGUAUGACUGCUUGAGUUCGAUAAAUUCUGGCAUGGUCCUUCCUCGAAUCCUUGAAUUGUCCACUAUAUUUGCAAUUCAUAAUAACAUAAGUAAGUUCGAAUGAAUCUAGUGAGUUGUCCAUCUUGUAUUAGCACAACAUCAGUAUGCUUGUACUUCAUGGUUUUGAAUUCAUAUUUGACUUGUCUGUACUAGAACAAUUCACCAAUCUCAUUGGCGUAGUCUUAACAUUGCACAAAUUGGCUCAACUUGUACUUGGCACAUUAUCUUUAAUGACCUCAUCACUUAUUUACUUGCGCAUUUUGGAUAACAAAUUAGCUUGCUCAACUGCAUGGGAUCUAUCACCGGUGACUUGAAAUUAGGAGUUUCAUAAUCGGUUUAUGCAUGAUCUUGCACAUAUAAAGCUUUCACUUAUGAGAUUUCAUUUAUGUAUAGUCAGAGAUAUUGAAUUAUAGAAGUUUAACAUUGUUGUGGAUUAUACUCGCGGAUUCUUCCUUGAAUGAUUGUCUUUCAGACUCCCAUGCAAUUACUUCCUUGAGAGAUAAUCUUCACGGAUUAUUACUUACAAACUUAUGAAAGAAAACCUAUAGAUAAUUCCCAUAGCACAUGACUUGCAUUAAUAGAUACGGAUUAUUACUUGAAGGUCACCUAUAACAUCUUCCACGAAAUGCUUCUUUUUUAUUCUUGCUACAACUUCACUGACAUUAACAGAAUCCUUAAUAUCAUCAACAUCUAUGACUUCAUGGAUUUCUAAGUCAGGUUACUCAAUCACCUUUUUCGUGUAAAAAACAAUGGGUAUAAUUUUAGGCAUUGUUUGUGCCCCACGUUCCUCUUCAUCAUCAGCAAACUUUUGAGUUGUUUCAUCUUGUACCACAAUGUUAAUUGAUUCCAUGAUCUUCUUGAAAUGCUUAUUGUAGACCCUAUAGGUCUUGCUUCUAUCUGAGUACCCAAGGAAGAUUCAUUAAUCAUUCUUUACAUCAAAUUUACCUUAAUAUUCCCUGUCCAUGAGAAUAUAGCAUAAACUGCCAAAAAUAUGAAAAUAUUUCAUAUUAGGUUUCUUACCAUGCCAUAAUUCAUGUAUGGAGCUAUGCAAGUCUUUAGCUUUAUGUGAACCUUGUUGAUAACAUAAACAAUAAUGUGAACUGUUUUAGCCCAAAACCUAUAAGCUAUUCCCUUUUUGUUUAAAAUUACUCGAGCCAUUUUUCGAAUCUUGGAGACAACAUUGUUGAGAGAAAUAGCCACAAACCCCAAACAUGAACCAUAAAGCAGAUAUAAAAAGUACCAAAAGAAAUCUAUUUCUUAUUUCCAUUUUUAAUAACAUAACUUAAUUUAAAAUUUCAAUUUCGAUAUAAACACAUUUUUUUUCAAAUUAAAAUUGAAUAGGUAUGAAUCAAAUUAACACAAUAUUUUAAAUCUUUAUUACUUUUAUUUGAAAUAAAUACAUUUGAAUUCAACCAUUCACUAAUUCCCUUAUUGAAUUCCCUUAUUUAUAUAGUAAACAUUCAUCUUUUAAAAAAAAUUAAUUAAAUAUUUUUAAUUUAUUUUUAAAUUAAUUUUAUACACAAUAUUAAUCCAUACACCGUAAGGGAAAAGAAAACUAGUUUACAUAUAUUAUUAUUAUUUUAAUUGUGGAUAAGCUCAGACUAAGAGAGUUGGAGAGAUUUUUAGGAACAGAGAGAUAAAGUCAGAAAGAGAGAUAAUUGUGCUUAUUAACAAAUACACGGCAUUAUAAUUUUUAAGGCCCACCAUGUAAGAGUAAAUGUUCAACUUAACAAGGCUCAAAAAAAAAAAAUGUUCAACUUAACAGUUCAUACAUACUUGAUCUCUAUCCAAAAGAAACUCGAGCUUCUAAAUUCAAGAUACCCUAUUUCAGGCCUCCUACUAGCUUAUGAACUUAUUUUAAAGCACCAAAUAAGACUUCAUUUGCAAUCUUGGCUCCCCUUUCUUUUGCCAUGUAAAGCCCUAUAUGGUGCAUCAAUUCCUGCAACAUUAAAAGCAGCAGCAUUCAAGUUAUUCUUGAUGCAUAUGGUGUGGGGAUCUCUUGUUUCCAUGUAACAAUAUGGGACAUUUUACGAAACGAAAUACCUGAGGCUGAGGCAGAGCUCCUUUAGUGUUUGUGGCGAUGUGAAGAGGAACGUCAAAGGUUGUGCAGGCACGCGAAUACACGAUAACAUCCUUGAGCGGAGCCAGAAAUCCUCGAUUCCUCACUGAUAAUGUCGAACACACGAAAUCCAGCACACAUAUAUCUGUGCACACCCCUACUACCAAUAUCUGCAACCAUCAUAAUCAUUGUUUAUAUAAAUUCAUCAUAUCCAACAAUUGAUUAAACAAGCUCCACACUAGGGUUGCAAUGUAAAACCAUUCUUGACACUAGUAUAUUCUACUAAAAAUCUUCUAACAAGUUCUUACAGCUUCAAUGUGAUUGUUCUUCACCCAAUCCGCAAAAACAUUUGAACCAUCAGCUUCCAUGGAACCCAGAUACCCAUCAUAGCAAUCUUUCCGCCUGAUUGUCACGUUUGUUUCGUUUUGUAUCCAUUGCAAAGCUGCAUUUUAUUUAUUUGUUUUGCAGAAUCUUGAUUUAGAAAUUCAUUAUAUAAAGCUAAAAAGGGAGAAGUAAAAAUAUAUAUAUGUAGGCACCUGGAACCAAAUUAGAUUCAUCGGUGCCUUGAAUGCAGUGAGGAGGAUAAGGAUCCUCGAGCUUGUCAGGAUGAUGAGAAUCAAGAAACGCCAUAACAGGCAAUUUCUUGUCGCAGAAAAGUCUUGCCAGCCUCACUGAUUCGCUGAUCGUUCUUGAUAUUUGUCUGUUGGGUUCUCUUGGGGCCUAAAACCCAUAAUAUUAGUGCUAUAAACUUCCUGAUUCAAUGCACAAAGCAAAUCCUGCAUAUAUCCUCUUCGACAUAUACAUAUACAUGCGUGUGUAGUUUAAGGGAAUCGUUUAUUACAUCACAACUUAAUCGAAUUGAUUCAACUAUUGUUUUUUUAAAGUUAGCAUCUAACAUAUGUGAAAUCGAAUCCCAGAAUAUGGGAUCGAUUACUUGUAACAAAAUAUAUAUCAAUAGUUCAAGGGUCAGGCACUUUACCAGGUUUCCAGCACCGACAGUGCAGAAGCCAUUGAUGAUAUCGACAAGAACAAGGCCAGUGACAACAUCUUCAGGCAAAACAACAAGCUCCUGCUCAAGAGGCAGCUCGUUCUUCAACACAUCAAUGGUUUGGGACACCAUUUUUUGAAAUUUAGUAACAGGGGACCUCGAAAUUGCAAAACCAAAGUGAAGGAGUUUCAGUAGAGCAACUUCAGUUAUAUUGAAUUUUGAAAACGGUAGCCAUGCUAGACUCCAAAAAGAGCUUGAAAAAUAUCUCAAUUAUUGCUGUAUUUCAAAAGACGUUGUAUCAAAGGAUAAGACUUGGGGAUCUAUCCAGAAUAAUUUUCGAGCUUCAGUUUCAACUUUUAUCGAUUAUACUAGUUUCAGCCGUCAUGCUUGGCUACAUUUGAUUAUUAGAAGGAUACAUACGGCAUAAAUAAUUUAAUAUUUUAGGAAUAGCUUCAACUUUUUGUGCUGCUUUGGAUGAAAAGUCUUAUUUCAACAGAAAAAUGUCUAUUAGGACACAAUUUUAAAUUAAGAUAUUUUUUAAGCUCAGCUCCAAUAUAAUUGAUUCUUUCCAUUUUGAUAAAAAAAAUUAUUUUUACAUUCUUACAUUCUUACAUUCAAGUUUAAACUCGAGUUUGUUUAAAUUUAUUCAUCAAUUUAUAUAUAUAUAUAUAUAUAUAUAUUCAAGUUUAAGCUUCAACUUGAAUUUAAUGUCUUUUGCAUAUAAAAUUCAUAUAUUAAUUAAAGUUAAUAAAUUACUUAUACAAUUAAUAAAAUCUAUAAUUAAAUUGGUGUUACGGAAUAACCGAGUACCAACUUAGUUAUUGCGUAAUGAAUGUGAAGAAGUAAAUCAUUAUCUUGGCAAUAAUGAGCCAAGCUAAUAUUUGCAGUGAACCCACCUACUAAGUAGUCAUGCAUUAUGAAAAGAACUCCCAAUUUUCUGACAGACACAGCCCUUUUGAUCAUUUCUUCAUAUGUACCUGCAGUAGGAAAAGAUUAAUAUACCCUUUUAUUAAAGGGUUACUAUUAUUAUUUUGAUGAUUUUUUUAUUUUUUUUUCAUACUUCUACAUUUUUUUAAAUAAAAGAACUAAAACUAAGAUACUUAAGAAUUGAACACAUGUUUAAUGAAUUUAUAAACAAAUAUUUUACUACUACUACAAUAAUAAUAAUUCAUGAUUAAAUUUUUAAAAGAUAACUUUUAACAUAAAAUGUUUUCUCUUACCAAAUUUACGUAUUUAUAAUAUUUAUAAAACCCCUGACUAAAUUAGUAUCAUGGGUUAACAGAGUACUUAUAUCAGUGAGUACUGAGCUUCGACCAAAAUUAAAACAUUUUGAUUAUUGAGAUAGUUUGCUCUUCAUAAAAAUGUUAAAAUUAUAUAAUGAAAUUGUUACUAUAUUUAAAUUUAUAUAAAAAUAAAAUAUGAUUAUUAUAUAAGAUGAAUGUAAGACAUUGACACCAUAUUUGGUUCGCGUGAAUGACCGUGUUUAGCUCGAGUUCACAAUACCAUUACUUGCUUGACUAGAUUAAUUAAAUGGUAGGAUAGGUAUCUUAUAAUACCUGUUCAACAUUAUCACCAAAGAAUAGUUGUAGUUGGACAAAAUAUGUUAGCGAAUAAAAUAAAUAAAUAAAAAUAUAUAAAAUAAAAUAUAAAUAGAAUAAUUUAUAUUUAGUUUUUUAAAUACGAAAAACAAUCAAACUCGUAACAAAAGUUAAAAUAAAAAAGAAGAAUAGAGUUUUUACUAAACGUUGAGAUAGAUUUGACUACUCCUACAGUACUUGGAGAAAUGUAGACAAAAUCUACGUUAAAGCAGCAAUCGAAUUAAUUUGAUUAAAAUCAAAUCAAAUUGAUUAAAAUUAUCCUUUUAUAUCAAUAUAUUUUGUAGGGAAAAAUAAAUUUCGUGUUGGACUAAAAUAUUUGUAGGUUAAUACAAAGGCCCAAGCAGUCCAAAUAUUUCACAUCACCUACAUCAUGAGGGUGCACCCCAACCCGAUCAAGUAUAAACCUACACCCUUUUUGUGUACGAAACAAGGUUACAAGCUUAGUCAUUCAAUCAUUUUUUAAGAGGGUUCUUGUAAUAUCCCGAAUUAAGGCCUAAUCGGAAUAAUGGUUUUGGGACCACAAAUCCGAGAUAGAAAUAAUUAUUUUAUUAUCAUUUUAAGGUCUAUGGCAUGAUUUCAUGAUUGUGAAAAUUUCUUUUAGAAAUUUUAUCGAUAGAGGGUCCAAUUUGAUAUUUAGGAAUAAAUUGUAAAAGUUGUAAAAUGUGUGUUCUAGUUCACAAAGGUACUAAGUACUUGUGAGUAAUGGGUUUUUAAAGUGGAGGUCCUUGGAUAGUAAUUAGACCAUUAUACUAUUUUGGACAAAAAUACCUAAAGGAAGAUAAAACACCAUAGUUUUUAAUUAAGGGCAUUUUGGUCAUUUAGUUAUUAAAAUGAAUUAAAAACAAAAUUAAAAGUCAAUUUUUGUCCAUCUUCAACCCCGUGGCUGAAUUUCACAUGAGGAAGACAUAGCUAGGGUUUUUAAAGCUUCCAAGCUCGAUUGUAAGUCCAUUUUAGCCCCGUUUUUAAUGUUCUUUACGUUUUUGGAGUCUCGGUAACUUGAUUAAGCUUAUUCUAGCAAUAAUUUAACCUAGGGUUUAUAUUUGAAAAAAUACCCAUAGGUGAAAUGUGUUUAUUUUGAUGUUUUAUGGUAGAUUAUGAAGCUUGAAAUUGUGUUAAACAACUUUUUCUAAGCGAUUUUACGUGAAAAUGAGUAAAACGACAUAAUCAAUAAAAAUACCUAAUGUUCAUAAGUACAUGUUAGAGUGAGAAUUUGAUGUUGCCAUAGAAGGGGAAAAUGAUCAGAAUGUCAUAAAACAUAAGAAAAUAGGAUGAAGUUUAAUUUCCGAGCUUUGAGGCAAAAGUGUAAAUAUGUAAAAGUUUAGGGGCAAAAAUGUAUUUUUCCAAAGUUUGAGUCAAGGACUGUUUUAAUAAAUGUGAGUAUUAAAUAAGCUAAAUUUAUUAUUUUAGAUCAAGAGAAACAAGAUUCAAGUCAUGAUCGAAGGAAAAAUAAAGUUUACGAAGAAUAGGCUCGAUUUCUAAGUUGUGAUAUCCCGAAUUAGGGCCUAAUUGGAAUAGUGGUUUCGGGACCAAAAAUACGAGAUAGAAAUAAUUAUUUUAUAAUUAUUUUGAGGUCUAUGAUAUGAUUGCAUAAUUGUGUGAAAAUUUCGUGAAGAAAUUCUAUGCAUAAAGUGCUUAAUUUGAAGUUAGGGACUAAAUUGAAUAAGUUGCAAAACUUGCAUUCUAGAAGUUUCUAGUAUGAAAUUGCUUUGAAAUAUUAAUUAGGAGGUCUUAAAUAUAAUUUGACCAAUUUCUAAGUUUAUGGACAAAAAUUGGACAUGGAUGGAAUUUUUGAAAGUUUAGUAAGGAAUGGCAUUUUGGUCAUUUGGAUAUUAAAUGAAAUAAAAUAGGAAAAAUAACAAAAAAAUUAUCAUCUUCUCCAUAUUUUGCUGCUGAAUUUUUCUCUCCACCAUAGCUAGGGUUUCAACACUUUUAAGCCUUGAUUGUAAGUGAUUUCUAUGCCCGUUUUUAAUGUUCUUUACAUUUUUGAAAUCCCCGUAGCUCGGUUUACCUGUUUCUACCAAUAUUUUGAGGUAGGGUUUAUUUUUAAAAAUUUACCCAUGAAUGAUAUGCAUGAAUUUUGAUGUUUUAUGGUAGAAUAUGAAGCUUGAGAUUGUGUUAAACAACUUUUGCUAAGUGAUUUUACGUAAAAACGACUAAAAUGACAUAAUCGGUAAAAAUACUUAAUGUUCAUUAGUACAUGUUAGAGUGAGAAUUGGAUAUUUCUAUAGAAGGGAAAAAUGAUCAGCAUAUCAUAAAACAUAAGAAAAUAGGAUGAAGUUUAAUUUACGAGAUUUGGGGUAAAAGUGUAAAUAUGUGAAAGUUUAGGGGCAAAAUUGUAAUUUUUCCAAAAUAUGAUUUUGGGUUUAUUUGAAUAAUAUGAGUCCUAAUUAGGCUAUAUUUGAAAUGAUAGGGUAAGGAAAAUUGAAAUUCGGGCUAAAAUCGGCAAAAUACUAAGUUGUGGACAAAAUGGUAAAAAUAACCAUUUUCACAUACGAGGUAAGUUCAUAUGUAAAUAAGGUAACAUAAUUUUUAUUUUAAGUGAUUUAAUGUUAUUUAUAUGACAUGAUACUUAUUAUCAUGAAAUAUGAUGUUUUGUGAAUUAUUAUUUGGUGAUAUGCAAAUUAUGUGAACAAUUUAAUAAGUAUGAGAUGUUAGCAAAUAUUGAUUUCUAUAUUCUGCAGAAGGCGAUCAAAAUGUGUAAUUGAAAAGAAUCCAGUUGAACCUUAGGAAUAGACUAGGAUAUUUGGGCAUCCGAGCUCGUUGAGUUGAGUCCGAGUUCACUUAUCGAUGCGAAUGUCCGAGCUCGUCGAGUUGAGUCCGAGUUCGUGAGAUGUAACUAGGCAUCCGAGCUCGUUGAGUUGAGUCUGAGUUCACUUAUGGAUGCGAAUGCCCGAGCUCGUUGAGUUGAGUCCGAGUUUGCUUAUGGGCGGGUUACAUGGUAGCAUGGCUAUAUAUGUGGCACUUAUGUGCAAACUUUCCAUGUAUCCGAGUUAUAUUUCGAAGUGUUCAACGGGUAAAAUUCUAGUGAAAUGGAAGAAUACUCAAGAUGCAAGUGACGUAUUGGUAAGUGUUGUGGAAUGGGCACUUUGGACAGGUAUGUACUUAACCCUCGGGUUGAGACUUGAUACGACAACAAUAAUGUAGUAAAACAAUGAAUGAUGAAUAGAAAUGUGAUAUAUGUUUUGGUGAUAUUAUGCUAAUGUUUGCUUUUGUUAAGUUAUUUGUUAUUUGCAUGUGAACUUACUAAGCAUUUAUGCUUACUCCUUCCCUUUCGUUCCUUGUAGUUUUGACAAGCCGGUUUGGAGAUCAGGACGGUCGAAGGCACGCUCACACUAUCAACGGACCAUCUCGGUAUGGUGGCUUGCAUAUUUUGGGAAUAUGGCAUGUAUAGCAUUAUAAUCCUUUUGUGUAUAUAAUCUUAUGAUAUAGCUCAUGGAUGGCAUGGAAAUGUUUGAGAAUGAUUAGCUAUUGGAGUGGCUAAUCGAGAUUAUAUUUGAUAACACGUACGCUUUAUGUGCUAACUAAGCUAUGGAAAUCCAUAAAAUGGUGAAAUUAGCUAUAAAACAGAAUCACAUAGCAGCAGUGACGUAAAUUUGAAAAAUCACUAAAAAUAGUAGAAAUAAAAUUAGAUGAUAAAUAAAAUAUGUAAUUGAAGCUUAAUAAUCUAUUUUCAUGUGGAAGAAACAAAAUAGGUAAAAAGUUUGUAUUUUAUGAGAUAUUUACGUUUUGGUGAAACAGGGUCAGAGCGAUUUCUGGAUCCCCUGUUCUGAUUUUAUAAAUUCACCAUAAAUUUUGUAAAAAUAAUUAGGACUCACAUUUUAUAUGUAUGGAUUCCUUAUUGAGACUAGUUUUAUGAGAAACAAACGGCAUAGUCAUUGAAACUCUAUAAAGGGAGAUAUCUGAUUCGUAAUACACAGGGGUCAGAGUAGCCGAACCUUGAAACAUGGGAGACUUUAACUAAUAAACUGUACUAAUUGGCACGACCAAAAAUUCUAGAAAAAAAUUAGUAAGUAGAUAUAUGAGUCUAGUUUCAAGAAAAAUAUACAGAAUUAGAUUUUGAGUUUCGUAACUCGAGAUAUGAAUUUUUUAGCGACUGUGAUGCAGUUAGCCAGCUUGUCUGGAAAUUCUAAAAUAAAUUGUUUGAGCUGUUUAAUUAAUAAAUUAAGUCCGUUAACUUCUCGUGCUCGACUCCGACGACGGUCUCGGGUACGGGGGCGUUACAAACAUUUUGUAUCGAGGUAAGUUCAGGUGUAAAUGUAGUAACAUAAUUGUAAUUUUAAGUAAUUUAAUGUUAUUUAUAUGAUAUGAUGAUUAUUAUCAUGAAAUAUUAUGCUUUGUGGAUUAUUAUUUAGUAAUAUGAAAAUUAUGUGAGCUACUUGAUAAAUAUGAAAUGCUAUCAAGUAUCGGUUCUGACAUUCCGUGGAAGACAGCAAAGAUGUAUGAUUGAGGAAAAUCCCGUUUGAACCUUAGGAAUAGAUUAGGAUACAAGUGACAUGUCACUAGGAUAUUUGAGUUCCGAACUCGUUGAGUUGAGUCUGAGUUCGUGAGAUGUAACUAGGCAUCCGAACUCGUUGAGUUAAGUCCGAGUUCACUUAUGGAUGCGAACGCCCGAGCUCGUUGAGUUGAGUCCAAGUUCUCUUAUGGGCGGGUUACAUGGUAGCUUGGCUACAUAAUUACAGCAGGCUAUUGAGUUUGUCUAGCUGCGGGUAUGGCACUUAUGUGCAUGCAAUCCGUGUAUCCAAAUUAUAUUCUGAUAUGUUCAACGGGUGAAUCUUAAGUGAAUAAAGAGAAUACUUAAGACGAAGGUGACAUGUUGGUAAGUGUGGUGAAUAAGAAAAUUUGGAUAGGUAUGCGCUUAAACCCUCGGGUUGAGAACUUGGUAUGAUGAAAUCGUGGUAAGAUAGUAAAUGCAAAUGUAACAUGAAUGUCUUGGUGAUAUUUAUACAAAUGAUGUUUUAUGUUGGAUUGGAAUGAUUAUGUUACUUGCUAUUUACAUGUGAACUUACUAAGCAUUUAUGCUUACUCCUUCCUUUUCAUUCUUUGUAGUUUUGAGAAGCCAGCUUGGAAAUUGGGAACGGUCAGAGGAUCGCUCACACUAUCCGUGGACCAUUUUGGUAUAGUGGCUUGUAUAUUUUGAGUAUGACAUGUAUAGCAUUAUAAUCAUUUUGUGUAUAUGAUUUUAUGAUAUGGCUAUUGGGUGGUGAGGAAAUGUUUGGUAAUGAUUAGCCAUUGGAAUGGCUAAUCAAGAUCAUAUUUGGUGUUAUGUAUACUUAAUGUGCUAUCUAAUCCAUGGAAAUUCAUAAAAAGGUGAAAUUUGCUAUAAAAUAGUAUCAUACAACAGCAAUGACGUGAGUUUUAAAAAUCACUAAAAAUAAUAGAGAUAGAAUUAGAUGAUGAAUAAAAUAUGAAAUUGAAGCUUAUUGAGUCUAUUUUCAUAUGGAAAAAACAAAACAGGUAAAUGAGUUGUAUUUUAUGAGAAAUUUGAGUUUUGGUGAAAUAGGGUUAGAGUAAUUUCUGUAUCCCCUGUUCUGAUUUUAGAAAUUCACUAAAACUUGUACAAAAAUAAUUAGGAGUAAUACUUUAUAUGUAUAGAUUCCUUAUUGAGUCUAAUUUUAAUAGAAAUAAGCGGUAUAGUCAUCUGAAUUCUGUACAGAGAGAAAAGUGAUUCGUAGUGAACAGAGGACAGAGUAGUCAAACACUAAAAUAGGGGAAACUUUAACUAAUAAACUGUCCUAAUUGGCCCUACCAAAAAUUUUGGAAAAAAAAUUAGUAAAUAGAUAUAUGAUUCUAGUUUCAGGUAAAAUUUACAUAUUUUAAUUUCGAGUUUCUUAACUUGAGAUAUGAUUUUUUUUAGCGACUGUGAUGCAGAUGGGCAGUUUAUUACGAAAGGUGAAAUAAAUUGUUUGAAACUGUUUAAGUGAUAAUUUAAGUCUGUUAACGCCUCGUGCUCGACUCCGGCGACGGUCUCAGGUAAGGGGGUGUUACAUUUUGUGGUAUCAAAGCUAUGGUUUAGUCAGUUCUCGGACUAACGUGGCGUAUGUAUGGGUUUUGCUAUACAUGCCAUAUUUAUAUUGUGAUAGUGUGACAACUUCUGACCUUUAAAAUGAUUUUUUUUAUAGUAAAUGGAUCCCGAUCCAGAUGUGGCCGAUGAUGUAGAGAGAAAUGCACCAGAUCCUACUGAAGGGGCGAUGCCGACUGAAAACUGACCUCCUACUGUUAGUCAAGGAGGAGGAGAAGGGGCUCAGGAAGCCUUUCUCCAGAUGAUGAAUGUAUGGUACACCGAGUUCGUUCGUACGAACCCGAAUGCUCAACAACCUCCCCCACCUCCCCCGAUUCCUCAACCUGUACCCCCGAUGCCUCAAGAUAUGAUCUGAUGAAAUUUCAUAGAACCCCAGUUGACAGAAUUCGCAAGCAAGGGGCUGAAGAAUUCAGGGCAAAUGUUGAUGAUGAUACCGAGAAAGCAGAAUUUUGGCUUGAGAAUUCUAUUCGGGUAUUUGAUGAAUUGUCUUAUACACCUAAAGAUUGCUUAAAAUGUGCUAUAUCCUUGUUGAGAGAUUUAGCCUAUUAUUGGUGGAAGACAUUGAUUUCAAUGGUACCGAAAGAGAAAGUGACUUGGGAGUUCUUUCAAGAAGAAUUUUGGAAGAAAUACAUCAAUGAAAGAUUUGUUGAACAGAAGCGUAAAGAGUUUCUCGAGUUGAAACAAGGUAACAUGACAGUUACUGAGUAUGAAAGGGAGUUCGUUCGGUUGAGUAAGUAUGCUAGAGAAUGUAUUCCUUCAGAGGCUAAAAUAUGCAGACGAUUUGAAGACGGGCUCAAUGAAGAUAUCAAAGUAUUUGUGGGAAUUCUUGAGUUGAAAGAUUUCGUAGUACUUGUUGAUCGGGCUUGCAAGGCUGAAGAACUAGUUAAAGAAAAGAGAAAGGCAAAGGCUAAGACUAGAAAUUUGAAGAAAAGACCGAUGAGCAGUGCAUUCCCACCCAAUCUAGAAAAUACAUAGAUAUGUAUUCUCGUUCUCAUGUUUCGGCCAAACAUUCGUAUGAGAAUCGUAAGAAGCAAAGUGCGGGUUUUAAAUCUCAGACUACUUCUGUGGCUAGUGUGGGAAAUUCGAGAUUUGUUAGACCCGAGUGCCAACGAUGUGGUAGAAGUCACCUUGGUCCAUGUAGAACUAACGAAUGUUACCAGUGUGGUUCUCCAGAUUAUUUUAUUAGAGAUUCUCCCAAGAGAAUUGAGAAAGAAAAAUUUCAGAGUGCAAAACCUAGUGGUGCAGUUUCGAGAGGAAGAUCUUCGAGCAAUGCUGGGAAUGAGGCAAGCGGCAAGAAUAUAGUCAGAGAUUCAGCGUUUAAAUCUAAAACUAGAGCUCCGGCUAGAGCUUAUGCCAUAAGGGCGUGUGAAGAUGCUUCAUCUCUCGAUGUGAUCACUAGUAUUUUCUCUCUUUAUGAUGUUAACGUUAUUGCUUUGAUUGACCUCGAUUCUAUUCAUUAAUAUGUGUGCAUGAAAUUGGUGUCUAAUAUGAGUAUACCUGUUGAGUCUACGGAAUUUAUGAUUAAAGUGUCAAACCCGUUAGGCAAAUGUGUUAUAGUUGAUAAAGUAUGCAAGAAAUGUCCUUUGAUGAUUAGAGGUCAUUAUUUUCCGGCCGACUUGAUGGUUUUUUCGUUUGACGAAUGUGAUGUUAUUUUGGGUAUGGAUUGGUUGACAUUGCAUGAUGCUAUAGUAAAUUGUAAACAAAAGGUUAUUGAAUUAAAAUGUGAAAAUGGUAAAAUUCUGCGGGUUGAAUUAGACGAAUCAGAGGCAUUGCCUAGUGUGAUUUAUUUGAUGUCGGCUUAGAGAUAUUUGAGAAAGGGUUAUGAAGCUUAUUUGGCGUAUGUGUUGAAUACAAAUGAAUUUGAUAAGAAAAUUGAAUAAGUGCCGAUUGUAUGUGAAUUCGCGGAUGUAUUUCCAGAAGAGUUGUCGGGUUUGCCUCUUGUCAGAGAAGUAGAAUUUGGUAUUGAGUUGAUACCGGGAACAACUCCGAUCUCGAUUGCUCCAUAUAGAAUGGCACCAACAGAGUUGAAAGAAUUAAUGUCGCAGUUGCAAGAUUUGACUUACAAAGGCUUUGUGAGGCCGAGUUUUUCGCUGCUCCAGUAUUAUUUGUGAAAAAGAAGUAUGGCUGAAAUGUGCGAUUAAUUAAAUCCAUAAAAACAGCAGGAGCAUUUGUUAAACCGAAUGGCAUAACUAAAAAUUCAUAAUGGUCGUACCUUGUUCUAAAAGAAGUUUUAGGCACAUCUGACUCUUUUACUCGCAGCUGGUAAUAUCCAGACCUCAAGUCAAUCUUUGAAAACCAUGUUGCUCCUUUCAGCUGAUCAAACAAAUUGUCAAUUCUCGGCAACGGAUACUUGUUCUUGAUUGUUACCUUAUUUAACUGUCGAUAGUCUACACACAAUCUCAUAGAACCAUCAUUCUUUAUCACAAAUAAUACGGGAGCACCCCAAGGCGAAAAACUUGGUCUCACAAAGCCUUUGUCAGUCAACUCUUGCAACUGCGACUUUAAUUCUUUCAACUCUGCUGGUGCCAUUCUAUAUGGAGCAAUCAAGAUUGGAGUUGUUUCUGGUAUCAGCUCAAUACCAAAUUCUACUUCUCUGACAGGAGGCAAACCCGGCAACUCUUUUGGAAAUACAUCUGCGAAUUCACAUAAAAUCGGCACUGAUUCAAUCUUCUUCUCAAAUUCCUUUGUAUUCAACACAUACGCCAAAUAAGCUUCAUAACCCUUUCUCAAAUAUCUCUGAGCCGACAUCGAAGAAAUCACACUAGGAAAUGCCUCUGAUUCGUCUGAUUCAACCCACAGAAUUUUACUAUUUUCACAUUUUAAUUCAAUAACCUUUUGUUUACAAUUUAUUAUAGCAUCAUUGAAUGUCAACCAAUCCAUACCCAAAAUAACAUCAAAUUCGUCAAAUGACAACAACGUCAAGUCGACCGGAAAAUAAUGACCUCUAAUCAUCAAAGGACAUUUCUUGCAUACUUUAUCAACUAUAACACAUUUGCCUAACGGGUUUGACACUUUAAUCAUAAAUUCCGUAAACUCAACAGGUAUAUUCAUAUUAGACAACAAUUUCAUGCACACAUAUGAAUUAGUAGAAACAGGGUCAAUCAAAGAUAUAACGUUAACAUCAUAAAUAGAGAAAAUACCAGUGAUCACAUCAGGAGAUGAAGCAUCUUCACGUGCCCUUAUGGCAUAAGAUCUAGCCAAAGCUCUAGCUUCAGAUUUAAACACUGAAUUUCUGACUAUAUUCUUGUCGCUUGCCUCAUUCCCAGCAUUUCUCGAAGAUCUUUCUCUCGAAACUACACCACUAGGUUUUGCACUCUAAAAUUUUUCUUUCUCAAUUCUCUUGGGAGAAUCUCUAAUAAAAUGAUCUGGAGAACCACACUGGUAACAUUCGUUAGUUCUACAUGGACCAAGGUGACUUUUACCACAUCGUUGGCACUCAGGUCUAACAAAUCUCGAAUUUCCUACACUAGCCACAGAAGUAGUUUGAGAUUUAAAACCCGCACUUUGCUUCUUACGAUUCUCAUAUGAAUGUUCGGCCGAAACAUGAGAACGAGAAUACAUAUCUCUAGAUUUUCUAGAUUGCGGUGGGAAUGCACUACUCAUCGGUCUUUUCUUCAAAUUUUUAGUCUUAGCCUCUGCCUUUCUCUUUUCUUUAAUUAGUUCUUCAGCCUUGCAAGCCAGAUCAACAAGUACUACGAGCUCUUUCAACGUAAGAAUUCCCACAAAUACUUUGAUGUCUUCAUUGAGUCCUCUUCAAAUCGUCUGCACAUUUUAGCCUCUGAAGGAAUACAUUCUUUAGCAUACUUACUCAACCGAACGAACUCCCUUUCAUACUCAGUAACUGUCAUGUUACAUUGUUUCAACUCGAGAAAUUCUUUACGCUUCUGUUCAAUACAUCUUUCACUGAUGUAUUUCUUCCGAAGUUCUUCUUGAAAGAACUCCCAAGUCACUUUCUCUUUCGGUACCACUGAAAUCAAUGUCUUCCACCAAUAAUAGGCUGAAUCUCUCAACAAGGAUAUAGCAUAUUUUAAGCACUCUUCAGGCGUACAAGACAAUUCAUCAAAUACUCGAAUAGAAUUCUCAAGCCAAAAUUCUGCUUUCUCGGCAUCAUCAUCAACAUUUGCCCUGAAUUCUUCAGCCCCUUGCUUGCGAAUUCUGUCAACUGGGGUUCUAUGAAAUUUCAUCAGAUCCAUACCUAGAGGCAUCGGGGGUACAGGUUGAGGAAUCGGGGGAGGUGGGGGAGGUUUUUGAGCAUUCGUGGUCGUACGAACGAACUCGGUGUACCAUGCAUUCAUCAUCUGGAGAAAGGCUUUCUGAACCCCUUCUCCUCCUCCUUGACUAAUAGUAGGAGGUCGGUUUUCAGUCGGCACCACCCCUUCAGCAGGAGCUGGCGCAUUACUCUCUACAUCAUCGGUCACAGCUGGAUCAGGAUCCAUUUACUAUAAAAUAAUCAUUUUAAAAGUCAGGAGUCUUCACACUAUCACAACAUAUAUAGGGCAUGUAUAGUAAAACCUGUACAUACGCCACGUUAGUCCAAGAACCGACUAAACCGUAGCUCUGAUACCACUAAUGUAACACCCUCUUACCUGAGACCAUCGCCAGAGUAGAGCACGGGGCGUUAACAGACUUAAAUUAUCACUUAAACAAUUUCAAGCAAUUUAUUUCACCUUUUGUAAUAAACUGUCCAACUGCGUCACAGUCACUAAAAGAAAUCAUAUCUCGAGUUAAGAAACUCAAAAUUAAAAUCCGUAAAUUUUCCCUGAAACUAGACUCAUAUAUCUACUUACAAAUUUUUUUCCAGAAUUUUUUUGGGCCAAUUAGUACAGUUUAUUUGUUAAAGUUUCCUUUGUUUUAGUGUUUGACUGCUCUGACCUCUGUUCACUACGAGUCUCUUUUCUCUCUGUAUAGAAUUCAGAUGACUAUGUUGUUUGUUUGUUUUAAAUGUAGACUCAAUAAGUAAUCUAUACAUAUAAAUUAUGACUCCUAAUUAUUUUUGUACAAUUUUUAGUGAAUUUAUAAAUUCAGAACAGGGGAUUCAGAAAUCGCUCUGACCCUGUUCCACCAAAACUCAAAUUUCUCAUAAAAUACAAUUCAUUUACCUGUUUGUUUCUUCCAUAUUUAAAUAGACUCAAUAACCUUCAAUAUAAUAUUUUAUUCAUCAUCUAAUUCUCUUUCUACUAUUUUUAGUGAUUUUUCAAACUCACAUCAUUACUGUUGUAUGAUACUGUUUUAUAGCAAAUUUCACCUUUUUAUCAAUUUCCAUGGAUUAGAUAGCACAUUAAGUAUACAUAACACCAAAUAUGAUCUUGAUUAGCCAUUCCAAUGGCUAAUCAUUACCAAACAUUUCCUUACCACCCAAUAGCCAUAUCAUAAAAUCAUAUACACAAAAUGAUUAUAAUGUUAUACAUGCUAUACUCAAAAUAUACAAGCUAUUAUACCAAAAUGGUCCAUGGAUAGUGUGAGCGAGCCUCUGACCGUUCCCAAUUUCCGAGCUGGCUUGUCAAAACUACAAAGAAUGGAAAUGAGGGAGUAAGCAUAAAUACUUAGUAAGUUCACAUGUAUAUAGCAAGUAACAUAAUCAUGCAAUCCAACAUAAAACAUCAUUUGUAUAAAUAUCACCAAGACAUUCAUGUUACAUUUGCAUUUACUAUCUUACCACGAUUUCAUCAUACCAAGUUCUCAACCCGAGGGUUUAAACGCAUACCUGUCCAAAUUUUCUCAUUCACCACACUUACCAACAUGUCACAUUCAUCUUAAGUAUUCUCCUUAUUCACUUAAGAUUCACCCGUUGAGCACAUCGGAAUAUAAUUUGGAUACACGGAUUGCAUGCAAUAAGUGCCAUACCCGCAGCUAGAUAAACUCAAUAGCCUGCGAAAAUUACGUAGCCAAGCUACCAUGUAACCCGCCCAUGAGCGAACUCGGACUCAACUCAACGAGCUCGGGCGUUCGCAUCCAUAAGUGAACUCGGACUUAACUCAACAAGUUCGGAUGCCUAGUUACAUCUCACGAACUUGGACUCAACUCAAUGAGUUCGGAGCUUAAAUAUCCUAGUGACAUGUUACUUGCAUCCUAAUCUAUUCCCAAGGUUCAAACGGGAUUUUCCUCAAUCAUACAUCUUUUCUGUCUUCCACGGAAUGUCGGAACCGAUACUUGAUAGCAUUUCAUAUUUAUCAAGUAGCUCACAUAAUUUGCAUAUUACUAAAUAAUAAUCCACAAAGCAUAAUAUUUCAUGAUAAUAAUCAUCAUAUCAUAUAAAUAACAUUAAAUUACCUAAUAUUACAAUUAUGUUACUACAUUUACACCUGAACUUACCUCGGUACAAAAUGUUAGAAAUCGAGCCUAUUCCACGUAAACUUUAUUUUUCCCUCGAUCACGACUCGAAUCUUGUUUUUCUUGAUCUAAAAUAAAAAAUUUAGCUUAUUUAAUACUCACAUUUAUUAAAACAGUCCUUGACUCAAACUUUGGCAAAAUUAAAUUUUUGCCCCUAAACUUUUACAGUUUUACACUUUUUCCCCAAGGCUCAGAAAUUAAACUUCAUCCUCUUUUCUUAUGUUUUAUGACAUGCUAAUCAUUUUUCCCUUCUAUAGAAACAUCAAAUUCUCACUCUAAUAUGUACUUAUGAACAUUAGGUAUUUUUACCGAUUAUGUCGUUUUACUCGUUUUCACGUAAAAUCGCUUAGCAAAAGUUUUUCAACACAAUUUCAAGCUUCAUAUUCUACCAUAAAACAUCAAAAUAAACAUAUUUCACUUAUGGGUAUUUUUCCAAAUAUAAACCCUAGGUUAAACUAUUGCUAGAAUAAGCUUAAUCAAGUUACUAGGAUUCCAAAAACGUAAAGAACAUUAAAAACAGGGCUAAAAUGGACUUACAAUCGAGCUGGGAAGCUUGAAAAACCCUAGCUAUGUCUUCCUCAUGUGAAAUUCGGCCAAUUCAUUUUAAUAACUAAAUGACCAAAAUCCCCUUAAUUAAAAACUAUGGUGUUUUAUCUUCCUUUAGGUAUUUUUGUCCAAACUAGUAUAAUGGUCUAAUUACUAUCCAAGGACCUCCACUUUAAAAACCCAUUACUCACAAGUACUUAGUACCUUUGUGAACUAGAACACACAUUUUACAACUUUUGCAAUUCAGUCCUAAAUAUUAAAUUGGACCCACUAUCAAUAAAAUUUAUGAAUGAAAUUUUCACACAAUCAUGAAAUCAUGCCAUAGACCUUAAAAUGAUAAUAAAAUGAUUAUUUUUAUCUCGGAUUUGUGGUCUAGAAACCACUAUUCCGAUUAGGCCCUAAUUCGGGAUAUUACAGUUCUCAUAUAUAAACACAUCUCAAACUUGGUAUUUAACAAUAUGGGAUCUAAGCUUUUCUUUUCCUCAACAAAUAUUCCCAAGUAGCUUACUUUGAGUAUCAAUUUCUCAUUCAUCACUCAACUAUUUUGAGCAUAUGAUAUAUCGUUGUAAAGGUUUCAUGGAGUAGAAUAAGAAACCAUAAUUUUAUGAUUCAACUCUUCACCUUUACCUAUUGAGAAUAUGCCUCAAAGUUUCCAUAAAAAUACAAUUUUUUUCAACAGUUAUUUUGGCCUUUCAAAAUAGCCACCAAUUCUUUUUUUUUUUAAAUACUUCAAACUAAAAACAUUAUUUUAACCAUAAUUUCAACAAUAGGAUACUACUAUAGUAACAAAAUUAAUUUUUCUAGAAACAUAAACAACAUAAAAAAGGAAACUUAGGCUGAUGUUGAGUUUGACAGAAUUGAAAGGAUUUAGGAUUUAAUUUUUGUGGAGGGAAAAGGUGGGGAAGAAUAUAUAUAGCAAUCAAGUGGUGGCCAACUGUGGAAUGAGGAUUGUCUGUUGUUUUACAUUCAAAUUGCAUGUGUAGAUCUAUUAGUUUUAGUGGGCUUUUAGGAAAAACUAAUUAGAACACUGGAAAUAGAGAAAUAGAAGAGAGUACUCCAAAAGUUCAAGAAUCCAAGUUGUUUCUAGACUUGAAGAAGUUUGAUCGAAUUUUCUUUGAAAAUCAAAUUGAAAGAAAUUGCUUGGAAUUGUUUUCUUGAUCUGAAAAAAAUUGAAGAUUGAAUGUAAAUAAGUCAAGAAAAACAAACCAAGUAAUAAAAUAACCAAAAACUGAAAUAAUAGAUGAGUUAUGGCAGUGGCAGAUCCUAAGACUAAGUUUUGGGGGUCUAAUAAAAAUUUCAAAAAUUUUAGAAUUUUAAUGAGAUUUUUUUAAAAAAAAUGGGGGGUCUAAUUGAAUUUUUUAAAUUUUUUGUGAGAUUAAUGAGAAUUUUCAAAAAUUUGAGACCUAAUUAAAAUUUCCAAAACUUCAAGGGAAAAAAAUUAAAAUUUCCAAAAUUUUUUGGGCCCAAUUAAAAUUUUAAAAAAAAUCAAGGGAGAAAUCAAAAUUUUCCAAAAUUUUGGAGAGGCUAAGGUCCUUUAGGCCACCAUAAGGAACUGCCUCUAAGUUAGGGAAAGAUGAAACUGAUGGAGAUGGAUAAAUGAUAAGAUGUCCACUUGGGCCAUUCGAGAUAAAAUUAUCCCAACAAACUCAAUUAUUGGCUCUAAUCAACUGUCUAAGAAAGAAUUAUUGACAAAUUGAAGUUUUAAGAACUUUUCCCAAAAUCUUGAACGAAAUUAAGUAAAAAAAACAUUUGAAAAUAAACAAGAAUUGAAUAUUUCAAAAGAAUAACUCUGUAACACCCCUUACCCAAGUCUAAGGCCGAGACUGGACACGAGGCAUUACCAUACUUAAUUACAUGCAUACAAUCGUUUUCGAGUCACCUAGACUUGAUCAAAUUUAAAACUCUUUCCAACUCUGUUUAAACUCCUUAAAGUAGGCUUACGAGGCCUCAAACUUUCCUUGGAAACCAUUUGGAACCAACUCGGGUCCUUAAACUGACUGAAUAAAAAUGAUUCUUGAAACAAGGCACACGCUCGUGUGGUCAUUUUAAUAUGGCUGUAUGGAUGGCACACACACGGCCUAAGCAUUUAGGGACAUGCCCGUGUCCUAUACCCAUGUGAAUUAAAUUUUAAAUUCGAACCUACAGGGGUUUUCACACGGCCUGACACACUCCCAUGUCUAUGGCCUGCGUCCUUCACACGGUCAUGACACACUCGUGCCCUAACCCGUGUCUAAAAACUUUGACAUUCUGUUUUUGACGUCAACAUCCAAUUUAGGGCACAUGGCCAAGGCACACACCCGUGUUCUAGGCCAUGCCCUUCACACGGCUGAGACACACAGUCGUGUCUCUAGUCGUGUGUUUACUACCAUGCAUACUGACUUGCAAUUUUUACAUGUAGGGGACACACGGCCUAGCAACACACCCAUGGGAUAGACUGUAUGUCACACACGACCUAGACACACGCCCGUGUGUCUACCCGUGUAGACAAUAUGAGGCUAUCUACUAAGCCUUUUGCCACCCUGAGACACAAUCUAAUGCCAACCAACAUAUCAAAAUCUAACUUAAUAUGAUUUCUCAACCAAACAACCAUAGCUAAGGCUUAUAUACAUUAUAUAUAUAUAUUCAAACAUGCCGUCAAUUUCACAUUCAUGAAAGACUAUCUUGCAUUCAUAUAAUAACUUUCAAUAUUAGCCAUUUUUCAUGGCCUUAUACAAAAUGAAUCAAAUGCUAUAGUAAGCCAUCACAUUUGGCCAAUUAACAAUGACACAAAACUCAAAAGUCUAAGCUCCUGUACAUGUCAUACUCAAAAUAUUAAGUUUAAUUAUACCGAGUGCUUCAGCUUGAUAGUGUGAUCGAUGCCUCCGACGUCUGAUAAUCCUCGAGCUAGUUAGGCAGCAUUAUAAGAAAACGGUAAGGACAUGGAGUAAACAUAAAGCUUAGUAAGUUGCAUGCAAUAAAUAUAACAACAACUUUACUAUUCAUCAUCAUGCUCAUAUUACUAAAGUAGGCAUAAGCACAACUUACUCAUCACUAUCCAAUACAUUUCACAUAGCAUAUAUUGAGCUCACAUCCCAUAUAUUUCAAAUAGGUACCUGUACCACUCAUAACACGGUUAUACUUUCCUCGUUUAACUUAAAUUGUAACUUUCACCGUUGAACCAUUUAGAAUGCUAUCAGAUAAUCAUUAAGCCUCAAACAUAGGGUGUAAUGCUGAUGCCAUGUCCCAGACAUGGUCUUACACUGGCUUAUCCGUCAAGUCGAUGCCAUGUCCCAAACAUGGUCUUACACUGACUAUUGAAAUCGAGGCCGACGCCAUGUCCCAGACAUGGUCUUACACUAGCUCUCACUUAUCUAUACCGAUGCCAUAUCCCAGACAUGGUCUUACACUGACACAUCUCGUAGUCGAGGCAUGUCCCAGACAUGUCUUAUAUUGGCUUACAUAUCGAGGCUGAUGCAUGUCCCAGACAUGUCUUACACUAGCUAUUGUCUCAAUGCCGAUGCCAUAUCCCAGACAUGGUCUUACACUGGCUCUCAUAAUAUGGCCGAUGCAUGUCUUAGACAUGUCUUACACUGGCACACAAAUAACCCAAAUGUCAUGGCACGAAUAUCUGAUUUAUUUCCUAAGGUUCAAACGGGAGUUUUACUAUCUCAAUAUUCAUCAUACAUAAUCAUUUCCACAACCAAGCAAUUUAUGCUAUAUCAAUUCAAACAAAUAUAAUAUCAAUGUAGUUGUAUUAUUUACAUACAACUUACCUCGAGUUACAAAAUGUAGAUGAAUGGUUCGGCUUAGUCCACUUGUUUUACUUUUCCCCAAUCUAGGCCCGGAUUUUGCCCUUCUUGAUCUAAAAUGAUAAAAAUUCACAAAUUUAAUCGUUUUAUUUAUCUAGGUACUCAAAAAUUCAUAAUUGGGUAAAAUAACCAUUUUGCCCCUAGACUUUAACAAAAUGACCAUUUUACCCCUGGGUCGAAAAUCAUUUUUUAUCACAUUUUCUCACUAAAAAAGCCUAGCCGAAUACUUUUCAUACUAAAGGCAGCCCACAAUUCUCAUUAUUUCACACAUUUAUCAUCUAUUUUACAACUUAUGCAAAAUGGUCUUUAGUUAGGGUUUCCAUGAAAACUACUUUACAAAAGUUGUUUAUUACACUACCAUAGCUCAUAUUCUUCCAUAAAAUUUCAGAAAACAACAUGAACACACUCAUGGUAAAACCCUAUACUUUCAACCAUUUUGCAACAUAGUCCAUUCAUUUGAAAGCUUAUGUUCCAAGGGUUUUAAAAGUGUAAAAAUCUUCAAGAAAAAUCAUCAAAACCACUUACUUAUGAGAGAAAUUAGUGGCUGAUAUUUUAAGCUCUCUAAACCCCCUUUUUGAUGCUAAAAAUCAGUAAAGAAGAAGAACUAAAAAGAUAGAGCCUUUUUAUUUUAUUUUAAUAUUAUACUAGUCAAAAUUGGUUACCAAAACUUCACCUAAUUUUGACUUUCUUGUCUCAUGGCCGGCCAAACAUUAUUUCUAGGGUCUAUUUGCUCUUUAAAACCCCUAAUUUUGGUUUUCUAGUUAUUUGACACCUUUAGCUAUCAAAAUAGGACUUUUACACUUUAUGCGAUUUAGUGCUUUUUCACAAUUAAGCCCACAAACACUAAAAUUACUUCACCAAAUUUUUCAUGCACUAAUAUAAACAUGCUUAACUCUAAAAUAAUAAUAAAAUAAUUUCUCUGACUUCGGAUUGGUGGUCCUGAAACCACCAUUCCGACUGAGCCCAAAAUCGGGCUGUUACAAACUCCAUCGAGUACUUCUCUUAAUUUCAAAGAAAGAUUUAAUUUACAAUGAAUGAAUGGAUGAAUGAAUGAAUGCCUUUAUAUAGACUACAUAAAUUGGCACAACAAGACGUAAUCUUAGUUGAACUAAAAUUUCUUGUCAAGGAGGAAACAUAAAAACUUCUAAACAACUUAAAAGACUUAAAAAUCUCUUAAAAUUUGAAAUAAAUAAAUACUUAAAACAUAAAACUUAAUAAAUACAAUAUUGAGAUUAUAUAUAAUCAAAAUUAAACAUUAAAAGUAAGCCCAAUAUGGAUUAAACACAAAUCUAAAGUCCAAUAAUUGAGUUUUUAAAAUAGUCAAUUUAAAGCAUUUGAUUAUUUUAGAAGAAAACUUAGUUAAUUACCAAUUUAUUUAUUACUCAAAAUUUUAAUUAUAAUUUAGCAGCAGAAAAGUGAUAUUUACUAUGUUUUUAAUAAAGAUCAGGGUUCAUGCCUAACUAAUUAAUAUUCAUAAGUUGAUAUCUUAUAUCAAAUUAAAUGUAGUGCAAGCUAUAUAAAAAAAUCCAAAUCCUAUGUUCCAUGCCACAGUUCAAAACAAAAUGAUAUAGUUUCUGAAUAAUAAAAAAAUCAAUUAAUGGGUCUAAAACGUUUUAAUAAAUGAAACCGAGCCAAGACCCUUUGGAUGCCUUGUUCAUGUCCUAAUCUGGUGGGUUAUUUGUAGAGAUAGAAAUAAAAAGGGGUGAUCUAUGAAGCUUAGUAUGAGUCAUAUCACAAGUGAACUAGUGCAGAACAAUAACUAAGCAUACAAUUUAAUAGUUGUCAUCACAGUAACAUUCAUAUAGGAUAACAAUAUUUAAAUAGUUCAUUCAGCAUGCUUUAAGAAUGUCAAUACAAAUGUGAUUUCAAUUUAAUGGGGAUAAUCCUACCCAUACUCUGCUACACUCCUCAGUAAGAGUUCCCCAGAACUCCUCCAGCUGUAACACUUCAGUUUGUGGCUGAGCCACCAGUGUUGCAGGUUAAUACGCUGCUAGUAGUUGUGAUUACACAACGAGUUUACAGAUAAAAGAUGCCAGUAUGAAUUAUGGAUACCACCAGUGUUUUCAGGUUAAUACGCUGUCAGUACUUGUGAAUACACAACUUAGUUGCAGAUUAAAACUACUAGUAUAAAUUGUGGAUAAACCACCAGUGUUUGUAGAUUAUUAAACUAUCAGUAUUUCUACCAUACAAUCGUCCCACCCUAUGCAAUACAGUAUGUCAUGCUUGCAAUAAUAUAAUGUAAAAUAGUAAACAUGUUUAUCAUGUUUCUAGUUCAUCAGUAGCAUUAGUCAUGCUUAUCAUGUAUUCAGUUUAGCAAUAGCAAUAAGCAUGUUGAUCAUGUAAUCGGUGUAGUAACAAUAACAAUUCAUCAAUUAUUCAGUCACAGUAUGCAUGUAAUAGUCCUAAAUCAUGCAUAUACAAUAGUAAUUUAGCCAAUUAAAUCAUAGAUUCCGACAUUAUUCAUAAUACCAGAGACUCAAUUAAAUUAAAUAAAUCACUAAAACAAAUUGGGAUCAUGCAGGGUUUAAAUUGAACAGUUUAUGAAAAUUCUGGGCAAAAUUGUAAAACAAGGGCAUAAGCCCGUGUGGUCAGGCCGUGUGCAAUACCUUAAGCUGUGUGGAGGGGUUACACGACCACGUGGCUAGGCUAUGACUAUGUGGAACAUGCAAAAUUAGGCUUCAAGGGAGACACGAUCGUGUGAGAGGUCGUAUGGAGGGUCAUAGGCCAUGUAAUAAUCGAAUAUCCUAGAGUUUUAGGGGGAACAUGGUCGUGUGAGAGAGUCAUGUGGUCCACAUUGUGGCCUUAUUUUGAGGCACGAUUUUCCCUGAUUCGCUCUUAAAAGAACACUUAAAAGAACUCUUAAAAGAAGAAAAAAAUACUCAAAACGAAAAAAUAUGAAGACUAAUUGUAUAAUUUAACCUAAAUUUUUUGUUUGAAAUGAUGAUUUAACGUGCUAUGUUAGCCUACCAUUGCACUAUUAACCAUAAUUAACGGGUCAGUGACUAAAAUAUUACAACAUAUUAACAUAACUGAUUAAAAUAUAAUAUUUCAAAAAUAAGUAACUAUAAUGUAAUUUAAAGAAAAUAAUAAUAGUUUACCCUUAUUUAAAUGAUAUUGGGAUAUUUUUAGAAAAAAAUAUUUGGAAUAGUACCUUAAAAAUGAAAGACAGCUAGAGAACCGAGCGUUCAUAACAGACGUUUUUCCAUAUCCUACACUGUUUUCUAAUCACACUCUCACACUGCUACGCUAUAUCUACCCAAAACCAAGCCAAAUCCCACCUUAAAUUCCUUUGAAACAUUCAAUCCUCAAUCUUCAGGUUCUGAUAUAAUCCCAUGAUUCCAUUUCCCAUUACCAGUUCUUUUCACCUCUGUACUCUUCCAACACAUUAAAACAACCUCUUAUACUAAUAUGCUACAAUUAUUGUCUCCCACCAUCUCCUAUCCAUCUCCACUUUUCCAUCUAACUUCCCAUCCUUUCCCUCCAAAACCCCACUUCUGUUCUACCCACAGGUUGAGCUUUUACCUCCCACCAAAAAUGGCUUCUUUUUCUGGGUUUUUGGCUAAGUCUCAGAUGGGCAUGACUGCUGGUGGUGGUGGUGGUGGUGAUGGUGCAAAUGGGUUCUCUUCACUGAUGGACUAUGUUGGGAAGGGAGGACUAGAUGUAGGAGAUGAUUUACUUGUUUUGCUUUAUCAUAUACAGUUUGCUUGCAAGAGAAUUGCUGCUCUUGUGGCUUCUCCCUUUAAUUCUGCUCUCGGGAAACAUUCAGCUCUCACUGGUGCCACAUCCGGGGCCGCUGCUUCUGAUAGGGAUAAGCCAAAGCCGCUUGAUAUUGUGGCAGUAUGUUUAACUAGGCUGAUUUCUUCAUCGAAUUUCAUGAAAAUAUUGCUCUUUUUUCCCUUUAAGUAGUAUUUUCAUGGUACACUGGUAUAUUGUUGGGCACAUAACUCUUAAAUAGUUUGGCUGCGAUUAUAAUUGACAUGAAUUCUUAGUAGUAUGAAUGAUUGAAUCAUUGCAAAUUAUUAGAGCAAUAAAAGAGGUUGAGUUGAUACAGAAACAGAUUGAUUUUAAAGAUGUAAAUCAGUCGAACUUUAGUUUUUUAAUGCCCCUUUCAAUUUUUUUUAAACUAGAGUAAAAGGUAGGGAAAAAAGAAUUAAAGUUUUCCGAUAUGCUAAAAUUUUGGUUCUUUUUCCUGCAGAAUGAAAUCAUAUUGUCAUCUCUUAGAAAUUCAGGAAAAGUUUCAGUGAUGGCUUCAGAAGAAGACGAUGCUCCAAUUUGGAUCAAUGAUGAUGGUCCCUUUGUGGUUGUAUUGGAUCCCCUUGAUGGUUCUCGAAAUAUAGAUGCUUCUAUUCCCACUGGAACGAUCUUUGGGGUAUAUAACCGGCUCAAAGAGCUAGAUAAUCAACCGACGGAAGAGAAGGCAUUGCUGAAUUCGCUACAGAGCGGAACAAAGCUUGUAGCUGCUGGCUAUGUCCUCUAUUCAUCUGCCACAAUCCUAUGUGCUAGCUUUGGCUCAGGAACACAUGCAUUUACCUUAGAUCAUUCAACGGGAGACUUUAUUCUCACACAUCCAAGCAUUAGAAUUCCGCCUCGAGGUAAACGUACUGGAAUCUUGAGAGUUAAAAUGUUAUGCUCAUGGAAUUCAUUUAAGUAUCUGAUAUUUGCUUCACAAAUUCAAUGUUAUCCUAUUUGGAUUUUCUUACUGAUGGUCUUCAUUAACAGUUUGAUUAAAUGGGAACUCUUUAUCAUAUGAAAGUAUGAAAUUAAUAUUGUUUUUUUUAUCCCAUUAAUAAUUCAAGCUCGGCCUACUUGAUGAUUCCAGGUCAAAUAUAUUCUGUCAAUGAUGCAAGGUAUUUCGAUUGGCCUGAAGGUCUAAGGCAAUACAUUGAUACAGUAAGACAAGGCAAAGGCAAAUUCCCUAAGAAAUAUUCAGCUCGGUAUAUAUGUUCGUUGGUUGCUGAUUUCCAUAGGACCGUGUUGUACGGUGGAAUAGCAAUGAAUCCCAGGGACCAUCUGCGGCUGGUUUACGAGGCAAACCCUCUAAGUUAUCUUGCAGAGCAAGCUGGAGGCAAAGGUUCGGAUGGUAAAAGUAGGAUACUUUCGAUCCAACCGGUGAAACUGCAUCAAAGAUUGCCUCUGUUUUUGGGUAGUUUGGAAGAUAUAGAUGAGUUGGAAAGUUAUGGAGAUGUUCAACAGAAAGUAAACCCUGGGUAUGAAGUUUAAUCACUUUUGUUGUUUUAAACAGAUUCAUUGCUCUGUUUCUCUAAAGUUCAUUCUUGUUUCUCGUUGUUAAUACUUUUAGCCUGAAGAUCACUUUACAAAAUAAAAUCUUCAAAUGAUGCAAGUUCUCUAAAACUAUCUCAAAAGGCUGCUUAAUCUCCAGCCUUUUCACUCGUCUCCUACAGGAAUAAUGGUUCAGUGACAGCAAAAUGUGCUGUUAUUACAAUGUCAACAGUCAUGGUUAAUUGUGAAAGGCAAUAGGCUCUAUGAUUUGAGACAAAUUUGACAAGCUUUGAACCCACAACGUCCCCAACCGGAUGUCCUGCACUAUCGCACAUAAACCGAAUCUCGAUAACAUUUAUGCCAAAGGUUGCAUGUCCUCAUCUAGAUACGGAUCGGGUUUAUUGUAUUGAUGCGAAUUGCCGUUCUAUGACCUACUCCUCAAUUAAUAUCGAAUAUAGGGUAUUGAAUGUUGCCAGAAAUCAAUGGAGGAGCAAAUUGAUACAGAUUAUCCAAAGGUACAUUAAACUGAAGAUCGUCCCUCUAGAGAUGCUGAUGAUAUAUCCGUGUAAAGCUUGCAAAAUCUCGACACAUCAGUGGGAAAAUAUUCACAGGUAGUUUGGGUGAACUUGGAACUUUAGCUACCACAUUUACCUGCUCAGCAUCAUCCAACUCCACAUAUAACUCUGCUGCCAUAUUUUUAGAUUUGCAAUUAACUGGUAAUUUGUCUGGACAUCUUCAUCAUCAAUAAGCUUAAGCCGGUUAUACAUGACGGAUUUGAUGAUACUGAAAAUCUAUAAAAGAUCGUGGAUAAUAUCUUUCCGUACUGAGCUGCGAUUUUAGUGCUAAUUUUUAAUUUCAACUCAUCAAGUUUGAUAUAUUUUUCAAACUUCAUACUAACACAAAGACAUUUUCAAUGUAACAAAUUUAUUAGUUCGGUAAUUAUGAAAAAUGAAAUCAAUAUUAAAUUUAACUGAACUUAAAUGGUAGAAGUUUAGACGGAGGAAAAGUGGAAAACUGACCGCAAGACCUAGGGAAUGGGGCGGCAGCAACUGCUAUUGCUAGGGCCACCAAGAAAGUCAGGUUUCGAGAUGAAGAGAGCUCUUCUAUCGCCGAUGGGCUAGCGUCGACAGUGGGGGGACUAAUGCUCCGUUCGGGAGUAGUGGAUGAACGAGGCUACCGAAUGAGAAGGUAAUUGAAGAUGAUGAUAUCGCACUCAAGGAUAGGUAUGUGGUUACUGAGACUAUGAAUGGGGUGUCGUCGAUCAAAUUCUCGUCGCGGGUUCAUCAGUUAAUAGAGGAGAGUAUGAGUAAGUCGAUUAUUAUUAAACUACUAGGUCGACGAAUUGGUUAUAGUGCAUUUCACAAUAAACUUUAUGCCCUAUGGAAGCCAUCUCGGCACUUUCGGUUGAUGGAUUUAGAUAAUGAAUACUUCUUGGUGCGAUUUCAAGCGAUUGAGGAUUACACGCCAGUGCUGGCCAGAGGGCCGUGUGUUAUCUUUAGGAAAUAUUUAACGGUUCAACCAUGGCGUAUGGGGUUUGAUCCGUCAGCCCUUCUGACAGAGGUGAUGGCUUAGAUUCGGUUUUCAGGGCUAUUAGGUAAUUUAUAUAAGGGGAGCCUAUUGAAAGUGAUUGGCGAACUAGUUGGGCGAAUCAUAAAAAUUGAUGGUAACACAAAGAGCGAAAGCAGAGGCCAGUUUGCCUGGAUGGCGAUGUGUAUUGAUCUAAAAUUCAUAUUGAGGAUCAAUUGCGAGUCAUUGUUGAAUAUAUGUUAUUGUUGCGGAUGCUAUGGCCACAUGGAGGAGGUAUGUCCUAAGAACAAGGACCGGGUGGUUGCAGAUGAGGUGGUGGAGAUGGAGAAGGAGACACCGAUUAAUGUUGCUAAGCAAAUUGAGGAUGAGGACUUCGAGUCGACCACAGUGGACAAGUAAGCAACGUGGUACAUCAGGCAUUAAAGAUUGGGGUGGUGUCAGGAUCAGAUUGAAGUCCAGUGUUCUUUUGGGCGUGGAGGUGAAGGUGCGCAUCUGGAGCAAUUUGUGCAGGGAUUGGGAGAUGAUAGACCGGUGGGGAUAUCACCGUAGAACAUGGGCAGCAAAGGUGUAACUGAAUGCUGAUUUUUAGCUAAGGAAAAAGGUGAGCGAGCAGUGGCUUCUGAGCCUAGACAGAAUAGUGAGGGGAGUAAUGGCCAAGCGAGCUUCGUACUACCUCUAUCUUUGGGAGCCGAAAUGACAGAUGUAUUACGACCUGCUCCUUGGUAUCCAAUGGCCAGAUGGAUGGGGAGUCGAUUCGGUUCUCUACUAAAAGGGUUACUUCCACCUUGAAUCCUCAAUGUCAUACGAUUAUUGUGGUUGACGAGAAUUUGGACCAGAAUGUUCGGCGGGAGGAAGUAUCUGUGGAAGAUAAAAUAGGGGAGGAGGAUGUGACAUUGGUUGAAUGUUCUGAGAAUGAUGUUAACAUAGUCAAAUGGCAGGAUGACAAGAAAGAGAUCCCUUGGUGUGGGGUGUGCAUGCGAGGAGGUGUUGCUUUAGUUCUUGUACGUUCGACUAUGGAAGGUAUUGUUGAGCGAUUGGAGACUACUGGGGAAUGUGAUAGUGCCGAUGGUGAUCUUCCCAGGGACGGUGUUUAACAGCUAGGAUCAGGGCCGUCAGAGGGAUAGUAAGAAUUAUCAGGUUGUUGCUCAUCUCUUUUCUCAGUGUGCUUGUUAUGGAGUUUAAUAUUUUUAGUUGGAAUUGUCAAGGGGCUAGACAUCCCCAAUUUAACCGUAUGCUACAGGAGUAUCUGAAGAUUCACCAUCCAGCGGUAGUAGUGUUGCUUGAAACUAGGGUUAGUGGUUUGAGAGCGGACAAGGUGAUUAAGAAAUCCAGCUUUAAUUGGUCUCAUAGAGUGGAAGCUAAAGGUUUUUCUAGUGGGAUUUGGAUUCAUUGGGAUGAAUCAGUGCGCGUCGAGGUUCUAUGUAAUCAUAGCCAGUUUGUGCAUUUUGCAAUAGUUUCGAAUUCGUUGCAGCAACGAGUUUUAUAUGCUGCAGUUUAUGGUAGUUCGAAUAGCCGGAAAUAGAGAUCCCUGUGGACGGGACUGAAUGCAGUAGCACAGGGUAUAGUUGAACCAUGGGUACUUUUGGGUGAUUUUAAUGCUUUGUUGCAUACGGAUGAGAAGCAGGGUGGGUUGGUGAGUCGUGUGGCAACUUGCAAACGCUUUCAAACCUUUCUAUUUGACAACAAUCUUAAGGAUUUGGGGUUCAAAGGACCUAAGUUUACAUGGUGCCAAGGUCGGGUUCACGAGCUGCUCGACGGAGUUCUUUAUAAUGCAUCAUGGGAACGACGAUAUCAGUUUUCUUCUGUGUAUCAUCUCCAGCGCAUUAAAUUUGAUCAUUGGCCUCUCCUUUUAGUGUUGAAUGACUCUUGUCGACCCAGUGGGACUGAGACGUUUAAGGUUUUUUUUUUCUGGUUGGUUAUUUCACAGUGGCUUGAUACGUUGGUUAAGAUGUGUUGGGAUGACAAUUACUCGCUUGUUGAAUUGGUCCAACAGUUUGUGGUUGAUGCGUCGGAUUAGAAUGGGAAAGUUUUUGGUAGUAUUGGUAGGCGAAAAAGGGAAUUGAUGGCUCGAUUACGAGGUUUGCAAGCAGCUAGGAUGUUUACAGGAUGCUGGGAUCUAUGUUGCUAUUGUUUUUGAGAGUCGGAGGCGAACGGGGACUGGAAAUUUGCGAUGGCGCUGUCUGGAGCUAGGAUGGGUGAAGACGAAUGUUGACGGGGUUGUGUCGGAAAGAACUUGUCAGGCAAGGACUGGGGCCUGUUCCGGAACUAUUAUGGGAGCUGGGAUGUCGGGUUCUCCAAGAAGAUUGGAAUGACGUCGGUGCUCCACUCAGAGCUGUGGGUGGUGUUUGAUGGAUUAAAGGUGCCUUGGGCUAAGGGAUUCUGAUAGGUGGUUAGGGAGAGUGAUAAUAUUGAGGCCUUACAAUUACUAUGCAGAGGAUCGAGAGGGGAACAUGUAUGCUCGCUUGUUCGAUAGAUUAUGGGGAUGCUUUAGUGACACUGGACUGUCAAGCUAGAGAAGGUGCCGAGAGCUUGUAAUAUUGCUGCAAAUUUUAUGGCUAAGUGGGUACAGGGUGCUGGUGAUGGUUUGCAUUUGGUGAAGAGACCGUCAGGGAGCUGUUGGAGGUCGUUGCUUUCUGACUUAGUCAUGGCUGUUGGAGUUGAUAUAGUUGAAUAGUAGAAUUUUAGAGUUUUCUCAAUAUUUUCCAUUAAAAAAAAGUUUAGACAGCUCGAUUACAAAUACAUUGAUUAUUAAGAUCUAAAACAUCUAUUCAACAAAAAAACUCAUGAUAAAAGCACGUGUGACUUUGAAACUUUUUCAUAUCGAGAAACCCUUACUGUUGUCCUAAGGUAAGAAGCACACCACCAAUCACUGUCCCCAACCCUUUUUGUUAGUGAGUGGCAUAAAACCGUAAAUAUGAUCAUGAAUCAAGGGCCUUAUCUCAACCCUCCCAUCUCCUUCCAUCCUCCCCAACCUGCUUCCAUUGCGUCUCAAUCGCUUCACAUUAAUUAAUUAUUUAUUAAGCCCAGAAUUUCACUUUAAAUUUUGUUUCAUUAUAAAUUAUUGUUUUUUUUUAAUUCUUUAACCUAAGUUUUAAUUUCUCUUCCUGAGUUUCUCUAUAUAUUUAAUUUUAUAAUAUUCUGUUGCAUUUCUUGUUUUUAUUUUUCCCAUUUUGGGGGAGAUUUUGUGGUAAUUUGUUAUGCAAAACGAAUGGCGAAUUCGAAUCACCAGCCAACGCCAAUGUACGGUUCAGGUGCAGCGAACAUGCAACGGAACAUUGACGAAGAAGAAGACGAUGACGUUCCAGGCGGAGCCGGAGGAAGAGGGGAAGAGUCCGUGGAUAACCCUCAGAUUGGAUUUCAAGAAAACGGUGCCGUUGUUGCGGUUAUGAAUAAUGGCAUAGACGAAGCUUCUCAUGCCCACGUUUAUGGUCAAGGAUCUGAUUCAACCUCUGCUCCUGGUAAUGGUGGCGCUGAUCAGCUCACCCUAUCGUUUCAAGGGGAGGUUUAUGUAUUUGAUUCCGUUUCUCCUGACAAGGUUCGUUUUCCUUUUCAUCUGGGCCUUUUAGUUUUGAAUUUGAUACGUAUGUUUGUUUCUUAAAUGUUGAAUUUUUUAUUUAAAUUGUUCACUUGUUGCAUCUGGUUUUAGGCUGAUUGGAUGGAUUUAAUGAUUUUUUUGUUAGUUUGGUGAAUUAUGUGGUGGCCUAUCCUGUUUUAAUGCUAAUUUAGCUGAUGACUCAUUGGUUUUUGCAUCUGUAUUCUCGUUUAUACAGUCAAUUACUGAAUUGCUUUGUUUCUAAAUAAUGUCGUGGGUUGUGCAAGAAAGAUCCUCUCUUUUCUCCUCAAUUGAAGUGGAUGCUAUUAGGGCUUAAAGUUUCAAAUAUGAAGUAAGAAAAGGGAAGUCAUGAUUUGUGGUGCUUGAUAUUUUCAGGUACAGGCGGUGUUGUUACUUCUAGGUGGAUAUGAAAUCCCUUCAGGCAUUCCUGCAAUGGGGACAGUCUCUGUUACUCAAAGGGUGCGCGUUAGAUCAAUCAUCCUAUCUAUCUUGUGAUUAGUUCUUUUAAGAGGGUUCUGUUUUUGUUCCUUUUCUUUUUUUAACAUCUUUAAUGGCAUUCUCCUAGGGCUUGAAUGACUUUCCUGGGAGGUCAAUUCAGCCACAGAGAGCUGCUUCUUUAAACCGGUUCCGGGAGAAGAGAAAAGAGCGGUGCUUUGAGAAGAAAAUCCGCUAUACCGUGCGGAAAGAAGUGGCCCUCAGGUAUUUCAACAAUUUGUUUCACCUCUUUUUCCACAUUUUUCUUGCUUCAAGACAAGAUUUUCUUCAACUCACUUGCUAACAAACCAGGUGUGGUUUGUUAGGAUGCAACGUAAGAAGGGUCAAUUCACAUCAUCCAAGGCAAUUUCUGAAGAAGUAGCCUCAGCCUCUUCAGGAUGGAGCGGAACACCAGGUUCUGGGCAAGAUGAGAACAUGCAAGAAGUUUUGUGAGUAGCUUUUCUAAUGAUCAAAUAAUGUUGUUUUUAAAAGAAAUUAUCAUUGGAUUGAUAUCACCCCUCAGUUGAAGUUGUAGUUUUUACUUCAGCUAUCAUUUGUUAUGUUCCUAUAGGCCUUUAUUUUGCAAGUUUUUUUCUGUGUAGAUGUACACACUGUGGAAUCAGCUCUAAGAGAACUCCUAUGAUGCGUCGUGGACCUGCUGGUCCAAGGACACUUUGCAAUGCAUGUGGACUCAAGUGGGCAAAUAAGGUUUGUCUAAACCAGGAAAGACUUGUUCAUAAGUCUAUUCCCCAUUUAAUUGCAUAAUGCAUUCUUUGUAAUUCUAAUGAUAUUUAAUCACACAAAUUUAUGAUUAGUCCUUCUAAUUGUCCGAGAGGUGUAUAUUAAGAGUUUGGCAAGAUUAUAACCUUGAUAUUCAGUUCUAUACUUCCAGUUAAUUUGUUUCUGGCACCACUUAACCUUAAUUUGUUUGAUGACUCAGAAGUAAACAUAUCCUUUAAGCAAUACAUCAUGUCUUCUGCAUUUUAGUAACUUGCGGAGGAUGAUUCAUGAUUCUUAUAAUCUUCAAUAAUUGCUUGUAAUUCUUUGGUCAUUCAGUUGGGAAGUUCUCAUUUGCAGGGUGUUUUGAGAGACCUUUCAAAGGUUUCUACAGUAGUAAUCCCGGAUCCAACUGUAAAGACUGCUGAGCAGGUUUUGCUAACUCAGAAAAACAGUAUUGAUGAUUGUUAUUUUUUACCUUUUUUCAUUGUGAUAAAAUCCUAAAUGCCCCUUGAAUCUUAUUACAUUGUUACUCCUUGCGUGUUUAUCAGAGUGAUGCUGAAGCUAACGAGUCAGAGGCUGUAACUGUAACUACAGAUGUUGUAUCUUCGUCUAAUGGAGAUAACUCCACUGUUACUGCUGAAAGAUGAUUAACAAGAUCCUUAUGCUAUGGUGAGUGCUAUGUUACUUGAUGUUUAAAAGGGCACAUGUCAAACUUUGUUGUAAUAAUUGAGUUCGUUUGACAACUGUAUAUAUGGUGCAUUGCCGAUCAUUAUGUAACUGCAGAAUUGCAAAAUACAGCCUAUUUGGUGUCAGUAGGAAGAUUAGAAAUAAUCUUCAAUAUGCGUCGAAACCAGAGCUUGUUUUAACAGAUUCCUUACCUUUCCUUGUAAAAAAGUGGAAAUAUUGAGAUGAGCUUGAACACAAGCAGCAGGGAAAAGAGGCACUUUCACUUCCUCACCGAAUGUCCCAAGUCUUGAGGCUGCAAUUCCUAAAGAAUGUCUGCUUAGCUACUUUCUUAUUAUUCUCAGUUCUGCCUCCUGAUUGUUCUGUUGUCUCAUAUGUGUUUUGCCUGUACACUUUUGUACGUUUCGAAAUACAUGCACUGGAUGUGUAGUAUGUGUUGGUUGUGAUUUCAUAUCGUGUUUAAACCGGUCAGGUAAAACCCCUCCUACAGUAGCUGUUAUGGGUCUUUUCUUGCCUCCCCAUGCUGCUCUACUUAUCGGUUACGCAGAUAAUCCAGGCACUAACUGAUUCAACAUUUUGGUUAACCAUUCUUGUCCAAUUUGCAACAUUUUCAACACUAACGAUAUUCAGCAUUAUAAGAACUAGACUCUCCCCCAAAAUGCUGCAGUUUAGGGCACUCCAUUGCAAUUGACCAAGGGUUUUUAUUACACUUAUUAGCUCCUUUUUUUUGCCUACUGUUUUUAUAAUUUUUAAAUUUGAAUAAAUGAAAUUAUUGUACUUAUUAUUUGAAAUAUAGGGUAAAUAACUGAAGGUAAUUGGAAAUGAUUGUUUGCAAUUUUUUUAAGGUACAAAUAUAAUUUGUAAGUAUAAUUAAUACAUUCGUAUAAACAGAAUUUCAAUUUCAAUCGACAUGUAUUAGAAUCAAACUAUAUUCAUUUGAUGAAAAUUUCAGUGAAAAUGCAAUGAAACUUCUAAAUGGAACAUAACUACUUUAAAGGAGGGGAAAAAUAUAAAUCAAAAUGAAAAUUCCAUUUUGUAUUAUUUACUAAUAUAGAUAACGUCAGAAAUCGCGGCAUGAGGUGAAUAUCAACUACUAAAUUUUUUUAUUUAGUAUUAGAUAAGAUAUUUUAUUUAUUUUUAAAUUCUUUAAAUAUCUUUAUUCAUCCCCAAUAAAAAGCUUAAAUAUAUCUUCAAGGAGAACCGAAACGCUAUUGCUUUGGCUACAUUAGGAAGCAAUUUGAGGCCCCAGCUUCCUCGGAUAGUACUAGUUUUAAUACUUUUAUCUUGUUUGUAAUGAGCCGCCUUAGGCUAUUGUUUCCAUACUUUAAUAUAUCAUGUUCCUCUUGCUAACCAAAAAAGAAAGAAAAAGAACAUAUAAAAGAAUAAGUCGUUUUUUUUCCCAUAAUAAAAGAUCAAACGCAUUCAUCACUUCUAAAAAAUGGGAUAGAAAAUACAUAUUGAAAUUUAUCACCGGACUUCAUAAAAAUAAAUCCACAACCAUAUAAAUGAGGGCAAAUUUCAGUCUUCAGAUCAUGCACAAGUUGGAUGACAGCAAAAUCUAAAACUUUUACAAUGAAACAACAGUAAUUUUCAUAGCUUUUAUGAUUAUUAUUCUUCAACAAGUUCUGCCGAAAUUAUUGAAUCCAAAAUUGCAAUUAUCCGUUUCUUUACAGGCAAAACCCAACAACCAGCAGGCCAACGGACAGAGACUCCAUGGCUAACAUUCUUGAUCCAAAUGCAUUAUCACCCAAAUAGUCGGCUGUGUUUACUGCCUGAUGUUAACAAAUGGGGGAGAAAAAAGAGAUUGCGAAAAGAAUGGAUAUAGGAACAGAAAACUAUCAUUUCUGACAAAAAAAAGAGCAAGUUCCUCGCUCCCAUUAUUCUUCCCGGAGCGAUAAACAAUGCAAAUAACCCUAUAUUAUGGCAGUAGAACAAGGAAAUAUAUGGUGUCAAAAGAAAAUGCAUAAAAGCUAGGAAAUAACACCAACUUACCAAUAUGCCAGCUUUGGUUGGAGGAGUUCUGAAGAUCUUGAGGGAGAAAAAUUAGACUAAGCAAUCAAAUGAAUAUAAUGCCUCCAUAUUUGGUAAAAGAAAGUUGGACCAACCUACACAGUUUCACGUUCAAAUGGCUUACAGAUCAACUGUGGGAUAGAGGCCUGGCAUGUAAUGGCGCCCAUUUCCAUUUGAAUCUGCAUUGGCAUACAAGUGUGACUGUAGUUCCCCCGAGUGAGCUGACUUGCGAGGUUUUAGGUUUUUGGAAGAAGCUGUGUAAGAAUCAUUUGAACCACUACUUAUAGAAUACAUUGAUGAUGUUGGCAGUCCAUGAAUCUUCGGCAGCCCUGUUGGAUCAGAACCCAGACUAUAUCCCCUCUCAACUGUUUCUGCUUCCAAUGGCAAUUCAUCCAAUGUCUAUUCAAAACGAUUUAAAUAAAUAAAUAAAUAAAUGUGGCUGCAGCUGCACUUAAUGUUGUAAUUUAGUAAGAAAUUAAAAAUUAAGCAAUAGUACGCAUUAACAUGUAUGCAAACAAGGAAAAAGAUAUUUGGGUCAUAUCCUCUUCACAAACAGAUUAAAAGUCUAGUGAUUGCUCUAAUAAUCAACAUAUGUAGAUAUGCAGUUAAGAGAACCCACCCUGAAUACCAGUGGGAGAACUCGGAGUGUUUCUCGAGUACGUUUUCUCUUAGAAGCGAUCUCAUCAGGUUCUUGUAACAUUUCUUGAAACAGGUUUUCUCUGUUUUGGAUGAUAAGACAUACAGGACACUCAAAGGUCAACAAAGAGAUUAUCACAGGGAUAAAUAAUUGAAAUCAAGUCAAAUGACAGAAAGCUUUAUAUCACCUGUAGAGCUUUUUGAUAAAGACAUUGUGAAGUUCACGUUUUGUAUGGUUUACCUGGACAUCGAUAUCAGAGAUCACUACUCAUGUAAUGCUUCAGCUUAGCAAUGCAAAUAUUGCACCAUAAACUAUCAUUAGAAAGACAUGGCUUAUACGGUUAUAUUUACAAAAUUACAACAGUUUCAGGUUCCAAAUAAGAAAUAAAUGAACAAAUUUCAACCAACUAGCUAGCUCCAUGUUACAGAAGUCAAACUGGAUACAUUCACACAAUCACGUAAUUCAUCACUGUUCUAACAUAACUAAAAUACAUCAACCACAGAAAAAAGAAAUGGUAACCUAGUUCAAAUUACAUGAUAUAUGCUCCACUACAGAUCAAAAUAGUUGAGGAUAGAAAUCAACAUACUUAGCACCAAAUAUUGUUUACAUCAAGCCAAACAGAUGCUGAACUGAUAAGGUGAAAAUUUGAACUUAAUUUCACUAGAAAGACUUACAAUCUUCUAACUUGAAUACCAUAAUGCCUUCUUUCUUUGGCCAGACCCAUAAUGCGUUUUUGGAUUUCAGUCAUCAGGAGCUUGAAUGUGAACAUGGAUAGAUAGCAGAAAGAAACCAAAAAAUACACAAUUAGCAAAUCUACUCGGUUUAAACUUACCAAGAAGUGCAUAAUUGCUUUGGGCACAGAGUCCUCUAUGUUCUUCCUAACAAUGUCAUAGUAUGAUCUUAAGAGCAGUUUGGUAAUAGCAAUUUCAAUAGCUUGAGUUUCUGAACGGUUUUCUGAAGGCCUCAAUACAGUUGGAGGCUGAAAAGAGUAAAAAACAUGCUUGUCAAGAUCAGAUUAACAUUCUUUUUUUAAUUUAGCACUGGAUCCUUGAUGAAUUUAUCUGAUGUGUAGGCGCCUCUCUGAGAUGGAUCAUGGAAAAGGAAUGUUCAGUAUCAUGAACAGGUUCACUAUAUGGCUUGUUGUUUGUUGAGCUCUCUUUCACUGAUGUGCGGUUAUCACUGCCACCAAAUAUUGAUGGAAUACCCCAAGUUGAAAUACUUGUGCUUCCUGAAAAAACCCACACUCAUUUUACUCUUAUGCCGCUUGAUAAUUAAUCAAAAUAGGGUGAGAGCUAUAAACACAAAAUUCACAUUGGAAAAUCAGCCAGAUCCCUUUCAAAAGGAAAAAAAGGGAGAGAGAAUCCUCAAUAUUUGGCCAUCCUACAUAACUAUCAUAAAGAAUAUCAGAUAUUGCAACAACAAAUUCAGAACGACAGCCUAAAAUGCAGUACCAGUAGAUGGAAAUUUUUCACCAUCUGCAACAGGACGGACUCGCUGCACAAAAAUGGAGUAAAAGGCUUCUCAAGUUAUUUACGUAGAAAACAGACAGAUGAAGGAGAAAAAAUUAUAGGAAAAAACAAAAAAGAACAGGCAGGGAAGGAAAAGCAUAUAUUGGGCAGCAGAAACACAAAUUUUCAUGCCUGAUCAGCGACGAUUCCAUUAACUUGUCUUGCAAGAAUAGCCCGAGAUUUAAUACUUCUUUCAGAAGUAAGAGCCUUAUCAGGCUCUGAACCAUCCUGAUUAAGUCAAGAAAGAAACACAGAAAAAAAUGAAAAGGAAUUGGGAUUGGUAUUUGAAAAAGAUCAGAAAUAAUACCAGAGAAAUUACUAUAAGUAGAAACCUGCCUUUGGUUUGAUAGGUAAAGGAACUCUGGAAUUCUUUAUCUGCUGAUUGGCAAGUUCUACAGCCUUGCUCCCACCAAUAAAACUUGGGUGGGAAGUAUUUAUGUAAUCCAUCUGCAAAAUUAAAUGGCAUAUAGCUCAAAUCACUACAGAUCUUUGAAAAGAACAUAUGAAUGUAACAAGCAUUGCACUCAACUGUAUCAACUUCAUCUCUUGUAACAGGAUUAAGAAUAGAUACAUAAAAUAAUAUAUAAAAAUAAAAUUAGCAGAAAUACCUCCAUUUCAAUAAUAUGUCCUAUCAUUGUCUCAGAUGGUUCGAGGCCUUCUCGGAGAAAGUUCCCAAUAACUUGGUCCAUAUGUCUUCUCAGAACAGGAAAUCGCUGCAGUUCAUUCACCAUGCAGCGAUGGCUAACCUGGAAAGAGGACAAUUCUAUUAUAAAUCUAGAUUGUGAAGCAAUAAAGAUGAGGGACUACGAUAAUAAUCUGGAAGAAUCAACUUUAUUAACUCAUCAUAUAUGAACCUUGCACAUUGGAGGCUUGGAUCUAGCAAUCGUGCUAUUUGCCUUCGAACAAGCACUUCAAACGGAACCUAUACAUAAAAACUAGAAUUAUAACCAAUAUUCACUGAGAUUAACAAGAAAUAACCCCAGGCAACAAUUUGGAAAACAGCAAUGUAGUUCUGUAUAAAACAAAAAUAAUCUUAGAUUAGAAAUUUGAAUUAGAAGACACUAUAACCUACUUCUGGAACAAAUAGUGCAGAUCGAGGACCAUUCGCAUUCUCGAUGGCAGUUCAAAUGUCAUCGUCGGUCAAGUCUUCACAUGGAUCAACCUCCUGUAAAACAAAUCAAUUACAUAGAAAAUAUCUACAUAAAAACCCUCGUACAGAGACAUGUUAUGCAUCACCAAUUUAUAAAGUUGCACUGCAGGACUCCUAAUGUCUGUUUUAAAGAAAGCAGUAGCUCAUGCAGGAAGUCAGAGGUUUUAUUUUAUUGUUAAAAAAGGGAGGGAAGGUGAGAAAUUAAGAUCAUGAAACCAGAUAACCAAUUAUACAGAUAAGGUUGCCAUUAUUUAACUUUCUUAUCCUGCCCUAGUAGAGAGACUGCGCAAAAUCACUCAUGGGGUAGUGAAAUGCACGUAUCAAUAGAUUGAAUAAAAAUGUUAAUCGUAACAGAUAGUAUUUUACAACCAAUAUUUUGUACAAUUACGUGCAUAGUAAUUAACAACUAACUUUUGUAAGAUGGUGUGAGGAAACACCCUAAAGACAGAUGUAUAAUAGAAUGCACAUCUAACUUCAAAUGGAAAGGGAAUCCAACUAACUAGGCAAAUAUCAAAGCACAAAUAUCAGUCUACAGUCUACACACCUCUAAGCUCUUGACAAAAAUUGAUUGGAAAAUGUAAUGAAUUCUUGCUCCAGCAGACAGCUCAGAUGUAGACAUUUGUUCAUUUUUCCCCUCUACCAUUGAUGAGAAUGCUGGUUCCAACAAACCAUUAUGGUAUCAUUACCAACUUAGUAGAUUGUAAAUGAUAGGUGUUUCAGAAUAUUAAUUUUACAGACAGCCAAACAAAAAAUUUACCUUCACAGUACUUCGAAAGAAUAUUCAGGAGAAGAGCUCCCUGGCCAGCCUAUAAAUUAUAAAACCAUAAUUUUGUCGUAAGAAAAUUAUUCCAGUUACUACUCAACAAAGGUCAUGGUAGACAAACAAAUAUACAUGCCUUUGAUUCUGUAAUUUCUCCAUAGCUUGCAUUCUCCUUAGCCACAGAAACCAGUGCAGAACUAAUGCGUGAUUUCAGGCCAGGAAGUAUUGCCUUUAUAUGUUGAACUAAAAUCUACAUUAGAAACAGCAUAGAAAGACUCAUCAAUUAGAUAAAAGAAAUACAGCACAACUAGGUCACAAGGCUCAACUAGUAUGAUCGCAAAUCAGUCCCCAACUACUAGCACAAGGCCUUCAACAGAUGCUAUAAGCAUGCGGGUGACUUGAUUAAGAUAAAAGGGAAAAGGAAAGAAGAAACACUCCGAACAUAACCAAGCCUACGGAAAAUUGCUCUAGAUGAGAGUAGAAUGAUGCAAGUUUACAAUCUGGUCAGAAGUAAAUGGGAGAUUUUUCUACCAAAUGCAUAGCACAGAGGAAAAUUAAUAGGAUAACAGGGUUAAGUAAACAUCAAUAGAAAGUACGAACACUAGAAAAAAGCAUCGACAUUUAGAUUUUUUUCAAUUAUACCCCAUAAAAGUUCUGGAAACUUCAACUAGCAAAUAUUUUACCUGGUUCAACUUCUUUGCCAAUUGAGGAACACCACAACGAUCAGCUAGACUAGUAUAUACCUGUGUACCAUCAAAAACGAAUAAGCCAAUUGUAGAUGAAAACUGUAUCAAACAAUGAAACUAAAGGUUGGUGCAGCCAUACUGGACGACUGCGGAAGAACUUCUCCUCUGAAACAAGGGCAUCCUUGAUACUCCGGUUGAGUAAAAUAUCCUGUUUAGAAGACAAUAUUAGAAGUGCAAUCAAGUUAUCAGCACUAGUAAAAUAAGGUACCAGAUAAUCAGUAUAUGAAGUACAAGUAAGAGCAAAAAUGAUAACUUAUUAAUCAUUAAAAUUGCAUUUAGUUGCUUUGGUAAAGGGAAGAAAUAAAUGGGUUCAGGAAGUAGAUUUACCCAUAUGAUAAGUUCUUGUACGUGGUCUGAGUAACCAUUAAAGAAGUCAUAUAGAAGCAAAAACAUGAUAACUUACUAACCAUUAAUAUUUCUUACAGUUACUUUUGAGGAGGGAAAGAAAUAAUUAGGUUUUUGAGGCAGUAGAGUUACCCAAAUCAAAGUUCUUGCAUAAUAUUUAAUGAUAUGUUAUGCUGUAAAAAUCCGCCAUGCAUUUGGUUUAGCACCCCUGAAACGUUUUAGUGAUUAUGCUUUGAUGUCUUUGUCUAAUCAUCUAAGUUUAUCAAAUUCAAGCUCCAUUUUGCUCUAAGCUAUAUAUACUUCAUGUUGCCUAAAACUGUAAAAGCUUUGAGGAUAUCACACACCAUCUGAAAUGGGCAGUUGAGUGACAUACAACCACAAGAAACAAAAUGACAGGACACUUAAAUGGACAGGAAGAUCUCAAAAUGAAAAAUGACUAAAAAGAUUCACAUAUGUCUUAAUCCAAAGAAGAAAUAUGAAGAAAGACAAAAUUGCCUUUAGAGCAUCUUGAAUUAAUAAGUAUGGCAAAAAUUUUAAGAAAAUAACUGUAAAAAUGAGAAACCUUCCGCAUUAACAAUGUACUAGAAAUAAUUUAUUAAGAAAAGUUUUAUAAAAUACAGAUUGAUGAAUUAAUAUCUUUAUUUCUGUUAGGUUCCAUGGUUACCUCCUGACUUCGAUUUACAACACCUACAUAACCAAGUCGAAGAGGAACCACUUUUCCAAGCAACAGGUUACGAGCAUCAGUACCUCGGUCCAUUAUAUCCAACUGAUUCAUAUGCAAGUAAGCCGAAACUAAUCAGAAACCAAAAACAGCUUAAACAUAAGUUUGUCAUAAUUAGAAAGGAGAUUUUCACGUUGAAAGAUGCACCUUUGUAAUAACACCAAUGGUUCUAUAACCUGCCGAACACCAAAAAGUUAGAAAGAUUGUUCAAUUAAAUAAAUAGCAACUCAAUGCUGAAGUGAGAUUUUGAUAGUAGAAAUUACCAUCAGGAUCAGCAUUUCCAGCAAUUUGAAGUGCAUCAGAGUUUGCUAAGUCUGAAUUUGCAGGAGUAACAGCAAGAAUCAGACAGCUUGGCUGUUUAAUAUAUGACAUGAUCAUUGUUCUAAUUCGAGCUUCAAUGUCUGAGGGCUGGUCACCCACAGGAACCUUUGUGAUUCCAGGAAGAUCCACAAGAGUGAUAUCAAGAACAUUUGGGGAGAAAAUCUUAAGUCGAAUUUGCUUGUCUGACACACCUUUGUUUCCUCCAGCCUCCCUAUCUGUCUCAGCCUGCAGUCCAUAGAUAUUUAUUUAAGGAUUUUACAUUAACAGAGAAAAAAGAAAACUCAACACCACAAAUUAUAUAUAUUGUUCCUUGAUUGGAUAAAACUAUUAUUAACUAGUAAACAAUAAAAGGCUAGAGUUUUUCAGAUACCCAAAGGGUGAGAGAAAAAUUCUACUUACGAUCCUUAGCCAAGAACAGCUAGAUUAAGUGAUUCACUUUUCUACUCAUUGUAACCAUCAGUGCAAAGCCUAAAGCCGAAUAAUUCCUUCUGGCAAGCUCCCAAUUUCCCUAAUUACAAAUUUCAGUACCACCAGCUAUUGCAUCUUUGUUAUUCAAGAUAGCAUCUAAUAAUAUCUUUCUCGCUUCAAUAUUAUAUAUAUAACAGUUCUAAUACUCCUUAAGCAACCAGUUUGCAAAGGAAAUUUUAAAAAUGUCAACUUCACAAAAAUACAUACUAAAACCCCUAAUUUGUUGAAUUGUAUAAUCAAAAUGAGUAACUUUUGAAUUUCUCAAUCAUAAAAGGUAAGCAAUAAAGAACCUGAAUCUCCCUGCGAAUCUCAGAAAAGUCAUAGAAGCGCUUUCCAGGCAAGUGAAGGAACUCGCCAUACUCCUCCUCAGAACCAUCAGGUUUACGCUUGGUCUGGAGGAGCUGAAGGACGAGAGGGCGGCGCGUGCAGAUAUCAGAGGCAAGUGACUCAAGUACGCUGGACUUGCCACUACUCUGGCUUCCGACCACCGCCACCUGCGGCAACUCUAUGGUGGACUGGCUACCCAGCUGCGCGAAGAUGUCUUGUAGCUUGUUCACUAUCGGUAUAACGGAAGAUCCCAAAGGAGCCGCGGAUGAUUGAGGCGGCGUCGAUGCAGCUGCUUCUUCCGCCAUUGAAUUUCAAUGAUUGAUCGAUUGAUGAAAAGAUUUACAGAAUUUUAUAUGAAAAUUCUAUCAAGCUAGAUUUUGGAACUGACUCUUUAUUUUUCUUUCUCUUUUCUAAUGCUUUGUGUUUACUAAAGAUAAAAGAGAUCUUGAAGCUUUGAUCGUAUGAUUGAACUUGAAGCAGACUAUGUAAUUGUGGCUUGGGAAUUAUGUUAAUUAAUUUAUUAGUGUGGUAUUCAUUUUAGCUAUGCAUUCUCACAUGCUUCGGGAAAUCAAUAUGAAGUUCUAAUUUUGGUAUUUAUGUUAUAAAUAAAUAAAGUUUAAAAUAUGCUAAAAGAUCUUGUACCAUUCAUGGAUAUGGAUUUUAGCCCUUUAUUUUUAUUUUAAAGCUUUUGCUAUUCAAUCUCCAAAUUCCUAUUUCUCGGCAACUGCCCAGAUGUUUUUCUCCAUCAGUCAAAAAUAGGGUUCCUAAAUGCUACCGACCCAAAGCUUAAAAGAACAUGUUGCCAUCUUGGCCUUCCCAUUUGGCAGUCACGAUCUAACCGUCCUAAGACUGGCGUGCUGGUUAGCUUGUGCAGCUCCGAAUGUGCAGUUUUCUUUCCUAACCAUAGCGAAGUCUAAUGAUUCCAUGUUUUCAACUUUUAAACUUGAUAUCCCGAAUAAUAUCAGAGCUUACAAUGUGGAGGAUGGUGUGCCCGCAAAUCAAGUUUUUAGUGGAAAUCCAGUGGAGAGAUUGGACCUUUUCCUUAAAGCAACUCCUGCAAACUUCCAAAAGGCUUAGAUGUUGCAGUGAUUUAAACUGGAAGGAGGUGCUAGCUGCUUCGUCACGGAUAUGUUUUUGACAUUUGCUGCAGAUAUGGCCGAGGACCUGCAAGCUUUUCGGACAUGGUGGUGGUGACGAAAAUGGUGGCAAAUUCCAACCAAACUUUGGAAGUUAUUCCAGGGUUAUCUCCAAUGCACGAUAGACAUUCGAAAGAAACGUUCUUUUCUUACACAUUGAGUAAAAUCGGGUGUGUUUUACCUCGAUCUACCGCCAUUGUUAUGAAUUUCUGCCAAGAACUUUAUCCCACAACACUCUUUGAUGCUCUCAAGUCCAUGUUUCCAGCUUUGCUGAAUGUUGGUUUUCUUAACGCAAGAACUUCCCUUGCCUCCAUUACCACCAUCGGAUUCAGAUGCAACAGAGUGUUUAUCAUGGUUAGACAAGCAAAGUUCCAAGUCUGUUGUGUAUAUUAGCUUUGGUACAGCGGCAACGCCAGCAGGGUUGGAGUUAAAAGCCUUAGCGGAGGCAGUUGAAGAGAGGGGCAUUCCAUAUCUUUGGUGUCUCAAGGAUGACCACAAGCAUCAUUUACCGAAUGGGUUUAUUAAAAGGAUAAGCAAGCAAGGGAACUCGCUUCAACAGGCGUGUUUGUGACACAUUGUGGGGCGAACUCAGUGUUUGAAAGCGUCGCAAAUGGAGUCCCAAUGAUCUGCAGACCGAUGUUUGGGGAUCACUGGAUGAAUGGACGUGUGGUGGAGGAAAUAUGGGGAAUUGGUGUUAGAGUUGAGGGGCAUGUGUUCGCUAAGAGUGGGGUACUCAAGAGCUUGAAGAUCGUUUUAGGACAUGAACACGGGAAGCAAAUGAGAGAAAGGAUUAGAAUACUGAAAGAGCUUGUUUUGAAAGCAACAGAACCAAGUAGAAGUGCUUCACAAGACUUCAAAACUUUAGUAGAAACAAUUUUAAUUUCUCAAUCUGAAUCCAUUUUUCUGAAAAUGUAUCUAAUAAUAAUAAUUCAUAAUAUUAACAUUAUAUUCCGGCUCGCCCUUAAGCAAUGAAUUAAGUAUAACAGUAUCCAUCCAAUCCAGGAUAUUUAUGAAACAUCCCUAUAUAUUAAGUUAGGUUUUCAUUUUGAAUCUAGUCUCCCACUUCUAAAUCAACCCCAGGUCGUUAAAAUGAGUUAAAAAAAUAAAAGCAAUUAAAGUUUCAGAAGAUAAACUAAUCAGAAGGGCGGUUCGAAUUCAAGAUGGGUUUCCAAGCUUUUAUCAAAUUUGCAUUGAUGCUCUUGCAUGUUAAUUGUUUUUUUUUAUUAACAUGUUGAACUAUGGGUUUCCUAGCUUUUAUUAAGUUUGCAUUGAUUUGCCUUGAUUCUCUUGCGUGGUAAUUUUUUUUUAUAUUAACAUGUUGAAUAGUUAGGAUUUUGCUGUUUCUUCUGUUUACUUAUCUUACCUUUACUCUUUUGUUUUGACUUAUCAUAUUAAUGGUAUCCCAGUUUAUAACUUUAAAUUACAUUUCUUUGCUUCUUAACAGACAUGCUUCAGUUCAUGCAAUUGAAACUAAUUCGAACUCUGACACCAAGAAACUGGUUACCUACUGGGUAAUCUUCUAAUUUAUUUCCCUGUUUGAACAUGAUUUCAUGGGGAUGCUUCAUUGGUAAUAUUGCUACUCAGCAAAUGCAUGAACUUCUUCUGUUUGAUUUCUCUAUCGACAAAAUGUUGGGUUUUCAUUCAGUUAGAUCUUCCAUUUAUUGAAUUAUAUAUUUGUGUUGAGUAAUAUUUUUCUUGUAUGAUAUUAAGGGAAAUGCAGGGGUUAUUUAUACAUGUUCCUACUGUUACUAUUACGCUCACAAUAAAGCCUACUAUUUUGUCUCGGUCCUAGGUAUGAUGGCACUGACAUUCCCUGUCUCUGGUGCUAACAUUCCUUGGGCAUCCCUUGGCUUAUUGGACGCGUGUCUAUGAAGCACGCGGUCCUUUUUUUAUCUUAGGAUUGACUCCUCCGGCGAACCUCGUACCCACUAGUCACAAGUGGGGGUCCCUUGUAGGGCUCGCAAUCCCUUCUAUGGAUAUAGCUCACGACUUCAUUCCUGCAAGGCUUACGUGAGCUCUCCUCGUGAGCUAUCUUUGCAAACAUCUAGCAUCCCAACAGAGUCCCCAGCAAACUAUCUCUGUAGGCAAACAUUCUUCUUCCGGGUUGGGUUUAUCCGGGUCAGAGAUACGGAUCCUAUUGGGUCAUUUGGGCUGGCGGUUACCAAAUCCUAGCAAUCCAGUCUCCCUUUAGUGGGCCUAAGGGAUGUUAUAAAGUGGUGGGCCUUAGGUCCAUUUCGAACGUAGCUUGCAAGGUACGCCUCGGGCCAUGGUGCAAAACAGUUGCCUUGCCACGUGUGAAUCCAGAUAUUGGGCACGCACAUCUGACCAUUGAGAGAUGAACCACUUCUUCUUACUUGCAUUUGGGUCGUUGGUUCAUUUUUUGCCAUCCGAACGGUUUAAAGAACCUCUCAUUAAAAGGGGAGCUUUGGGGGUUUAGGUUUCUUCACUGUUUGGUAUUUUCUGCAAAUUGGAAUUGAGAAAAUUUUCACAAAUCCUUUCUACUUCUUAGUUUUCAUUAUUGUUUUCUUUUUACUUAAAUCAUGGUGAAGAUAAGAUGAGCCCACAACCAUAUCGUCUCGGUUCAUCGAACUUCACCCGUCGUAACUGAGAAGCCCUACAUUUGCACCACCACACCGGAGGAAAUAGAACGGGCUCUAGCUAUGUGGGGAAUCAAGCUUCCCCACAUUGCCUAUGAAUUUUCCAUUCCUUCAGGGUCGCACCGUGUGUGCGAGGCAACGGAUGAUAGUUUCCUUCUCCCAUUGCACGACAUAGAGGCAAGAUUCCACCUCUCCCUGCAACAUUUCUUUUGUAACCUCGUUAACAACUACCGCCUCACUUCUGGUGAACUCUCUAGUUUUUCCUAGUGGCUAGCAAUGGUGUACUUUCUCGAUAGCUGCCAGCGCGACGAAAUGCCGAUGCUAUUUGUCUUCCAGCACUUGUACCAGUUGAAUGGGACUGAUGUAGGGGAGUCAAUAGGGUUCUACUACUUUUCCCCUCGUCUGGAGGCGAGGGCAAUCAUAUGAAAUCAGUGUAAGAAUAUUCGACUAAAACGGGGGAAGUAUAUCCAAGUUCGCAGCAUCUUUGGCGAAGAUGUGGUCUUCCCCUAGUGAAGAUAUGCGCGCCUUUCAGAGGAGUCUUACGACUGAUGAGGUUGUCACGUAAUUUUAGAGGUUGCGUAUUGGUCACAUGCUGGUUAUGGAGGCGGUCCUGGCUGCGAGGAAUAUCUUCAGAUUCUGCCUGGAGGAUCUUAGCUCAAAUGGUUGAAGGGUUGGCGACAACCAAGAUGCCGCACAGUUAAUUGGUGGGCGACCAAUAAAAUAAUACAAUAUUUCUUUAUCUGGAAUACUAAGAGGGUGGAGGGACACCUUAUUGUGCAAUAUGGUUUGUCGCCUUUCUCAUAUAGGAUAGGUCUGUUGGGCUCGUCUUGUGUGCUGAGUAAAUUAUAUGUGUUUUCUAAACUUUUAACCAAUACAUAUAAUUUUAACCUACCCAAUAACUAUUUUUUCUAUUUCCAAAAAUAUUAUUUAUUUAUUUAUUUAUUCAAUUAAAUUACUUUUUUAACCCAAUUCUAAUUUUAUUAAAGUCAUAACAACUUUACCGCAUUAAGAUUUAUGAAGAAAUACAUUUAAUUUCCCAUUCAAUAAAACUAUCACGACUAUUUUAUUAAUUCUCACAUCAAAUUUUAAUAAAUUAAUUUCAAUCAAUUAAAUAAUAAUUCAAAAAAAUUUAAUUUAAUCUCUAAAUCAUCUUUUUGUACUUAGCGAGAAAAUACAUUCGCUGCAGAUAGUGAUACGACUUAUUUCUCUUAAUUGUUAUUUUCAUUCAUUUCAAAUUAUCGAUUUACAUGCAAUAUGUUUGGGUUAUGUCGAGCUAGUAGAGAGAUCGCUUUGACAUAUAAAAUAAGAGCUCAAAUAAUUUGUAAUUAAAUUCAGACUUUUUAUGUCACAUGUAACACCCCUAACUCGUAUCCGCUGCCAGAACAGGGUUUCGAAGCAUUACUACCAUUUGCAGAUCACUUAAAAAAAUUAAAAUACUUACCGAUUCAAUGCAUCAUAUAAAAUAAAUAUAUUACCAUUCAAUCAACAGUUUGGCACUUGUAUAAGCAUCAAACAACAACAUUGUUAGUAUACUUGCACAUAUCUCAUAUAAAUUCAACAUUGAUAUAUCUAUUUUUCUCGGCAUGUCGCAGUUGAGUUUAAUAAUAGUCUCAACUUACAUAAUUUCCUUGUAUCAACAUAUCAAAGAUAAUCAUAUAUGUACAUGUCAUGAAACAUAUCAUGCUCUUACCGUUUCUUCACAAGCAUAUAUCAUUCAUUUCAUUAUAUCAAUAGUUUAUGCUCCAACAUUUCCAUAUAUUUUAUGUAUAUUUAUUCUGGUAACAGCUUAUAUCAAACUUAACAUAAAUUAUAUUCCAUGUACUUAUACUUAUUUCGUUUAUCCAUUUUCAUAAUUAUUUCAUACAACGCUUUUGUACAUAUAUUUCCAUAUGACCAGUUCUUGUAAACAUUUCACACAACCAUUUCAUAUAACCAUUCGUCAUCUGAUACAUUUUACUUGAAUAUCAAUUGUUCAACAGACGUUAUAGCAUCUCCCAUCCACGGUCUUAUUUAUCUUUGACGUGAUGCCAUAGUGUCUUUCAACUAUGGUCUUACUCAUUUUCUGUCAUGUUGCCAUGGUAUCUUUCAACCAUGAUCUUAUUCUUUUCAUGUCACGUUGCCAUGGUAUCUUUCAACCAUGGUCUUACACAUCUCAUAUCAGGUUGCCAUGGUAUCUUUCAACCAUGGUCUUUCACAUUUCAUAUCAGGUUGCCAUGGUAUCUUUCAACCAUGGUCUUAUUGUAAUACCCCUACCCGUAUUCAUUGCCGGAAUAGGGUACGAGGCAUUACCGGAGUUUACGAAUUAAUUUUUUUUUUCAAUUCAACAUAUUUUCAUGAUAGAUUCAUGCAUUUAUAUAAGAUAACGUCAUCACAUAUCUAUAACCAGGUUUGUUAACCAUACUAAUGGCUAACUUUACAUUCAUUUCACGUUAACAUUUACUUUGUUAGCUUAUACAUGCCAUUGAUUUUCAAAAUAAAGUUUCUUUAUAUACCGAAAUCCUGAGGUUGACAGCGUGAUGUAUCUCUGACCAAAUCCGACCUCCGAGCUCUUAACACUACAAAACAGGGAAAAAGGAAACGGGGUAAGCACUUUGUGCUUAGUAAGCUCAUGUAACAAGAAUUAUACUUACCUAAUAUUUUCAAUACAAUAUAAUAAACAUUCAUAUAUCCAUUCAAUGCAUUAUUACCCUAACAUGCACAAACUCAACAUUCAAGUUAGUACAAUAAUUUUCAUGUAUCAAUAAUAUAUAUACCAUGAUUGAUGUACUCAUCAAUACCAUGAUUUUCAUUCCCUUAUUAUUUUUCAUAUUUAUCCCGUUGAAUUUAUCGAAAUUUCGAUGGAUUUUCAGAUAUACACUUUUAGUGUACAAUUCCGGGUCCGUCAAUUCAUAUUCAUAUGCGCACAUUUCUAUUUCAGAGAGCACACUCCCGCGAACCUCAACCUUGCAGCGGGAUUACCAGUCCAGGCUAAAUCCCCUGCAAUAUAAACUCAUAGAGUAUUGUCGGGAUUACCAGUCCAGGCUAAAUCCCCUGCAACGACAAUUACUCUAAUGAGCUUGGAUCUGAAUUACCAGUCCAGGCUAAAUUCAGACCCUAAUUCGGAUUACCCGUCCGGGUUAAAUCCAUUUUACACAUAUUCUUCGGGAGGGCUAUAUCAGGAUAGGAUCACCCGUCCGGGCUAGAUCCUUUUUACCGUCAAUUCCUUUUCAGAGAUCCAUCGAAUUUUCCUUUCAUUCAACCGGGAUUUCUUCCCAUUUUAUCAAAUAUAUCAAUGUUUCAUUAAUUUUCAUACAAUGAACACUCAAAUCAUAUUCACAUCAAUAACAAACAAUCUCAAGCAUUUAAGAAUAUAAUUUAAGUUACACGAACUUACCUUGAUACUUGUUUGUAAACAGUAAAAAUCUAUUAAUCCCGAACUUUUUCCUUUCCUCGAUCUAGCUUCGUAUUUGAAUCUUCUGGAUCUAAAUAAAUAAAUUUAAUUAUCAAUUUAAUACAUUUCAUGUUCAUAUGCAACAUUCUCUAUAAUUCAACUAUUAUUUAUAGUUCAUUCAAAGCUGUCUACUUGAGUCAUAGUCACUAAAUUAUUUAUAAAUUGAGCUACGGAACUCCAAAUUAAGAUCCGUUAAUUUUUCCUGAAACUAGACUCAUAUAUAUUUUUACCAUAAAAUUUUCAGAAUUUUUGGUUUAGCCAAUCAGUACAGUUUAUUCUUCAAAGUCACCCCUGUUCUGUUGUCUAACAGUUCUGACCCUUCUUCACUAAAAAUAAAUUAUCUCUUCAUACGGAAUUCAAAUGAUGUUUUUGUUUGUUUCUAUUAAAAAUAGACUCAUUAAGAAUUCUAUACAUAUAAAUUUAAGUCCCUAAUUAUUUUUAUUCAAUUUUUUAUAAUUUUUCAAAGUCAGAACAGGGGAACCCGAAUUCAUUCUGACCUUGUCUCACAAAAUUCAUUAUAUCUGAAAAUUUAAAAAUCCAUUGCUUACAAUAUUUCUUCUAUGAGAAACUAGACUCAAUAAGAUUUAAUUCCAUAUUUUUUUCAUCUUCUAAUUCUAUUCCUACAAUUUUUGGUGAUUUUUCAAAGUUAGUCUACUGCUGCUGUCCAAACUGUUUUAGUGCAAGCUGUUUAUUACCAUUUUUCCCCUAAGCUUUUAAUAAAUGAUAAUUUCGUCCCUAUUCAAUUGGCCUCUCAAUUGAGCUUAUUUUUUUCAAUUAACAUUUUAUUCUAUCACCUUAAACUAGUUUACAACCUUUAGGAAUUAGAAUUUCAGCAAUAGACUUUAAUUCCAAAAAUUUUCACAAUUAGGUCCCAAAAAUCAAUUUCCAUUGAAAUUGCCUAAUAAAAUCAUCUCAUAAACAAAUUAAAGCUUUAAUUUCAUUCUAUUUCAUCAUAAACUUACAGAACUCAACCAUGGUGACUUUAAAUUUCAUCCAUGAAAUCAAAAACUAAUGAAUUUAAUAGUAGGAUCUAGUUGUAAAAGUCUUAGAAACACAAAAAUUACAAGAAAAAGGCAAGGAUUAACUCACUUGGUGCAAAAAUUAUGAAAUACCAGCUUAGAGAACCCUCCUAUGGCGGUUUUAGCUGCUGGAAUUGAAGAGAAAUGAAGAAAAAUCUAGAUAUUUCCUUAUUUAGUCCUAGUUUUAUUUAGUUAAUUUUGUAAUAUUCCAAUUUUACCCUUAAUUUAUCAAUUUUUCUGCUGAUUUCUUACCCUUGCCGUCCAGCCCAAAUAACUUUUGGGUCUAAUUGCCUUUUAUAUCCUUUCUCAUUAGACUAAUAAGCUAUUUAAUCACUCUAGUAACUUUUGCACCUAUUACAAUUCAGUCCUUUUCAUUUAAUUGACUACCCAAACAUUAAAAUUUCCUAACGAAAUUUUAAUACCACAUUAAUAACAUUUCAUAAAUAUUUAUAAAAUUAUUUUUGACUCGUUUUUACGAGAUAGAGGUCCCGAUACCUUAUUUUACCCAAUUUCUUCAAUAAUUUCUUUUUCUAACUAAUCACUAAAUUGAUAAAAUUUUCCUAUCAAUAUUUUCAUACGAUUUUCCUAUCAUAUAAAUUUUCAAGCAAAAAUAUUGAAAUAAAUUUCUCUUUAAAUCGGAUUUAUGGUUACGAAACCACUGUUCCGAUAACAUUGAAUUUACGCCAUUACAACUCUCCCCCCCUUUUAAGGAUUUUCGUCCUCGAAAAUCUUACCAGUAAAGAGGUUUGGGUAUUGUUUCCUCAUUGCCUCCUCCGGUCCCCAUGUUGCUUCCUCAAUCCCGUGCUUUUGCCACAAUACUUUCACCAAAUUUAUCUUUUUAUUUCUAAGCUCUUUUGUCUCCCAUGCCAAUAUCUUGACCGGUUCUUCACUGUAAGUCAUAUCCGGUUGAAUCUCUACUUCUGUCGGAGAAAUAACAUGUAAAGGAUCUGAUCGAUAUCGUCGUAACAUAGAUACAUGAAAAACAUUAUGGAUUCUAUCAAGUUCCGGUGGUAAUGCCAAUCGAUAAGCGACCGGUCCAAUUCUUUCUAUGAUUUUAUAUGGCCCGAUAAAUCUUGGACUCAAUUUACCCUUUCGACCGAAUCGAAGAACUUUCUUCCAAGGAGACACUUUCAGAAAUACCUUGUCACCGACUUGAAAUUUAAUCUCUUUUCGCUUAAGGUCGGCAUAUGAUUUUUGACGAUCGGAAGCUGCUUUUAGACUAUCUCGAAUAACCUUUACUUUUUCUUCUGUUUCCCAGAUCAAAUCAACCCCAUGUAUCUUCCUUUCACUGAGCUCUGUCCAAUAUAACGGUGUUCUACAUUUUCUACCAUACAAAGCUUCAUACGGAGCCAUUUUAAUACUAGACUGAUAACUGUUAUUGUAAGCAAAUUCAAUCAAAGGUAGAUACAUCUCCCAAUUACCUUCAAACUCUAGUAUACAACAUCGGAGCAUAUCUUCCAAUACUUGAAUUACACGCUCAGAUUGACCAUCUAUCUGAGGAUGAAAUGCGGUGCUGAAAUACAACUGAGUACCCAAGGCUUCUUGCAAUUUGUCCCAGAAACGAGACGUAAAUCGGGGAUCUCUAUCUGAUAUAAUGGAGACAGGCACUCCAUGUAACCUGACAAUCUCAGAUAUGUACAGUUCAGCUAGUUUAUCUAAAGAAUAAUCCAUACGUACCGGAAUAAAGUGAGCUGACUUUGUCAAUCGGUCUACAAUCACCCAAAUAGCAUCUUUUUUCCUCGGAGACAAAGGUAGCCCCGAUACAAAAUUCGUAGUGAUUCUUUACCAUUUCCAUUCCGGUAUAGUAAUUGGCUGAAGUAACCCCGAAGGUACCUGAUGUUCAGCUUUAACUUGUUGACAUAUUAAACACCUUGAUGCAAACUCAGAGAUAUCACGUUUCAUUCCCGACCACCAGUACAUCUUUUUCAGAUCAUUAUACAUUUUAUUACUCCCCGGAUGUACAGACAUAGUACUACUGUGGGCCUCGCGUAGAAUCUUCUGUAUGAGCUCUGAAUUCUGAGGUACACAUACCCUACCUCUGAAUAAUAAACAAUCAUCAGAACCAAUCUAAAAUUCAGAAUCAUUACCUGACUCACACUGUGCCCGUUUAACCUGUAACUUCUCAUCAUUCUUCUGAGCUUCACAUCUCGGUUUAGCUCUCAAUUCAGCUAGGAUUGAACCAUCAUCAGUCAAUGAUAACCGGGUAUUCAUAGCUCGUAAAGCAAACAGAGAUUUCCGGCUCAAAGCAUCAGUUACAACAUUAGCCUUACCCGGAUGGUAAUCAAUAAUCAAAUCAUAGUCCUUUAUCAGUUCAAGCCACCUGCGCUGUCUCAAAUUCAAAUCUUUCUGUGUCAUCAAAUAUUUCAAGCUUUUAUGAUUAGUAUAAAUAUGACAUUUCUCACCGUACAAGUAAUUCCGCCAUAUCUUCAGCGCAAAUACAAUAGCAGCUAAUUCAAGAUCAUGUACUGGGUAAUUUCUUUCAUGUGGUUUAAGUUGUCUUGAAGCAUAGACUAUUACUUUACCUUCUUGCAUCAAAACACAACCUAAACCAUUUAAUGAGGCAUCACUGUAAAUAACAAAUUCCUUACCCAGUUCAGGCUACACUAAUACAGGUGCUUUCGUUAAUAGGUCUUUCAAUCGGUUGAAACUUUGUUGACAUUCAUCAAUCCACUCGAACUUUACAUCUUUCUGCAAUAAUCGAGUCAUUGGAGAAGCUAUCAUAGAGAAUCCCUGUACAAAUCUCCGAUAAUAACCAGUUAAACCCAAGAACUUCUAACUUCAGAUACAUUCUUCGGUGGACUCCAAUUGACAAUAGCUGAGAUUUUACUUGGAUCUACCCUGAUGCCUUCGGCAGAUACAAUGUGUCCAAGAAAACUCACUUCUCGAAGCCAAAAUUCACAUUUACUGAAUUUAGCAUACAACUGCUUCUCUCGUAGAAUUUGCAACACAAUUCUCAAAUGUUCUGCAUGUUCUUCUUCAUCCCGAGAAUAAACCAAAAUAUCAUCAAUGAAUACUACUACAAAUCUGUCUAAGUACGGUCUAAAUAUCCGAUUCAUCAAAUCCAUGAAUACUGCAGGUGCAUUAGUUAGCCCAAACGGCAUAACUAGAAACUCAUAAUGCCCGUACCUGGUUCUAAAGGUUGUUUUUGGCACAUCUGACUCCUUUACCCGUAACUGAUAAUAACCUGAUCGAAGAUCAAUCUUUGAAAACAUAGUAGCACCUUUCAGCUGAUCAAAUAAAUCAUCAAUCCGGGGUAACGGGUACUUAUUCUUUAUGGUUACUUUAUUAAGCUGCCGGUAGUCGAUACACAAUCUCAAAGACCCAUCUUUCUUUUUCACAAACAGAACCGGAGCACCCCAAGGUGAAUGACUCGGUCGAACAAAACCCCUGUCAACAAGCUCUUGCAAUUGUGUCUUUAACUCUUUUAAUUCUAUAGGAGUCAUCCGGUACGGAGCUAUGGAGAUCGGAGUAGUUCCCGGAAUCAAAUCUAUAGAAAAUUCCACUUCUCUUUCUGGUGACAAUCCUGGUAAUUCUUCUGGAAACACAUCAGAAAAUUCACAUACCACUGGAACUGCCUGUAUCUUUGACUCAGAUACCUUGGUGUCGAGUACAUAAGCCAAGUAAGCAUCAUACCCCUUUUUGACAUACCUCUGUACUGCCAUUACUGAAAUCAUAUCAGACAACCCCUCUGUCUGAUCAGAUUUAACCCGGAGCAACUCACCAUUCUGACAUUUUAACACAAUAUAUUUUUGUUUACAAUUUACUGUCGCAUCAUGCUGGGUUAACCAAUCCAUACCCAAUAUCAUGUCAAAUUCAUCAAAUGACAGUAAUAUCAAAUCAGCCGGGAAACAAUAACCUCUUACCAUCAGUGGACAAUUUUUACAAAUUUUAUCCACUAACACAGACUGGCCCAGGGAGUUCGAGACUUUAACCACAAAUUCAGUAGGUUCAACAGAUAAAUUUUUAACAAUUGCAAGUUUAACACAUAUAUAUAUAUGAAUGCGUAGAACCAGGAUCAAUCAAUGCAGUAAUAUCAGUAUCAAGUAAAGAAAAUGUACCAGUAAUAACAUCGGGUGCUGAAGCAUCUUCUCUGGCACGAAUGGCAUAUGUCCUAGCAGGUGCUCGUAUCUCAGGCCUACCUAUAGUAUCUUUUGUAGCUCCUCGACUACCACUGAUAUUACCGGAUGGUCGAGGUGGUCUGCCCCUCGAAACUAGAUUACUCGGCUUCGAUAUAUGUUCAACUUCUUUUUCAACCCUUUCUGGACAAUCUUUGAGGAAAUGGUCAAAAGAACCAAUUCGGUAACAAGCCCCACUCUUAAAUCGGCAUUCACCAAAAUAAACUUUAUUACAGUACUAGCAUCUCGGUUUAGGAGUGCCAACACUGUCAACACUGGUCACUGAUGGAGUAAAAGGCCUUGGAUUAGUGCGUUGAGAACCUCGUUCUUUGCCCGAAUACCCAAUGGCUGAAGUAGAACGAUCCUGAUAUUUCUUCAAUUUCUUUAAAGCAGAAAACUGGGAUUUUCCCAUCGGUCUUUUACUAAAAAUUCGAGCUUCCCUCUCAGCCUGUUUCUUUUCUUUGCUCAAUUCUUCUGGUUUAUAAGCUCUCUCUGCCAAUGUAACGAACUCUCGAAUUUCAAGAAUUUUGAUCAGUAACUUAAUGUCUUCAUUCAACCCUUCUUCGAAUCGUUUGCACAUUUCAACUUCUGACUGUACCCAUUCUCGAGCAUAUUUACUCAAUCGAACAAAUUCUCUUUCAUAUUCAAAUACUGAUCUAUUGCCCUGUUUUAGCUCAAGAAAUUCUUUUCUUUUCUGGUCAAGGAACCUCUGGCUGAUAUAUUUUUUUCUGAACUCGGUCUGAAAGAAUUCCCAUUUAAUUUCUUCUUUCGGAACAACUGAAGCUUUAGUAUUCCACCAAUGGUAAGCUGUAUCUUUUAGCAGUGAGACGGCACGUUUCAGACAUUCUUCUGGUGUACAAGAUAAUUCUUCCAGAACCCGAGUAGUAUUUUCUAACCAGAAUUUAGCCCGUUCGGAAUCAUCAUCAACUGCUGCUCAAAAUUCUUCGGCCCCAUAUUUUCGAAUUUUAUCUACUGGAGCUUUCCCUUUUCUGACAGAUUCAGUACCUCCAGUCUAGGCUAAAUCCCCUGCAACAACAAUUACUCUAAUGAGCUUAGAUCUGAAUUACCAGUCCAUGCUAAAUUCAGACCCUAAUUCGGAUUACCCGUCCGGGCUAAAUCCAUUUUCCACAUAUUAUUCGGGAGGGCUAUAUCAGGAUAGGAUCACCCGUCCGGGCUAGAUCUUUUUUACCGCCAAUUCCUUUUUAAAAAUCCGUCAAAUUUUCCUUUCAUUCAACUAGGAUUUUUCCCAUUUUAUCAAAUAUAUCAAUAUUUCAUUAAUUUUCAUACAAUGAACAUUCAAAUCAUAUUCAUAUCAAUAACAUACAAUCUUAAGCAUUUAAGAAUAUAAUUCAAGUUACACGAACUUACCUUAUUGCUUGUUUGUGUUUAUAAUUUCAUUAAUCUGAUAUCUUUUCUUUUCCACGAUUAAAUCUCAUAUUUGAGUCAUCCGAAUCUUUAUAAAUAAAUUUGAUCGUCAUUUUCAUUCAUUUCAUAUUAUAAUGCAUUUAAUUAAUACUUUAGGCAAAAUUACCAUUUUGCCCCUAAACUUUUAAUUAAUGACGAUUUCAUCCUUAGGAUCAGGAAAAUAAAAUUCUUGCAAUUUAAUCCUUAUUUCCAACUAUUAUUCUCAUAUAUAUUGAUAAAAAUCCAUGAAUUCUAUAAAAUAUCAGAAUUUUUCAUAAUUUCAACACUUUUCAAUUUAAUCCCUAAAACAUGUUUUCCCCCGAUCUUGAACUAAAUUAAUAAUUUCAUUCAAGUUUUUAAUUUAAAUAAUACAAUAAUCCAUUUCAUGCAAUUUGGUCAUUUCUGACAUGUUUACAAAAUUUCCCAUAAAGUUUUACUUUUAUUCAAUUUAGUCCCUGAGCUUAAAAUAUGCAAAUUAGCCAUGCUAGAUGAAUAUUAAUACAUAUUUUUCCUCCCCCUCCUCUCCAUUCCACAUCCUUAAUGUAGAUAACACACUUGUAAGUAACAUUAUCCAUAAUUUUUAUUAUUUACUUUUAUGAAUAUUCAAGCUGUCUAUCUGCAUCAUAGUCACUAAAUUAUUUAUAUCUGGAUCUAUAGAACUCCAAAUUAAUAUCCGAUAAUUUUCCCUGAAUCUAGACUCAUAUAUAUUCUUACCAUAAAAAUUUCAGAAUUUUUGGUUUAGCCAAUAAGUACAUUUUAUUCUUUAAAGUUACCCCUGUUCUGCUGUCUGACAGUUCUGACCCUUCUUCACCAAAAAUUAAUUAUCUACUCAUACAGGAUUCAAAUGAUGUUCUUGUUUGUUUCUCUUAAAAAUAGACUCAUUCAGAAUUUUAGACAUAUAAAUUUAAGCCCCUAAUUAUUUUUCUUCAAUUUUUUAUGAUUUUUCAAAGUUAGAACAGGGGAACCCGAAUUCAUUCUGACCUUGUCUCACAAAAUUCAUUAUAUCUCAAAAUUUACAAAUCUAUUUCAUAAGAUUUAAUUUCAUAUUUUUUUCAUCUUCUAAUUCGAUUUCUACAAUUUAUGGUGAUUUUUCAAAGUUAGUCUACUGCUGCUGUCCAAACUGUUUUUGUGCAAGCUAUUAAUUACCAUGUUAUAACACCCUUAUUUUCUUUUUCUACACCAUUUCUCAUCACUUUCUCUUAUUUUCUCUUCACUAACAUAUAAAAAA
This 74153-nucleotide long non-coding RNA is filed under the name Gossypium barbadense (sea-island cotton). Its description in RNAcentral is "long non-coding RNA (GBAR_LNC011085)". The record is from RNAcentral. Lineage: Eukaryota; Viridiplantae; Streptophyta; Magnoliopsida; Malvales; Malvaceae.